UUUUUUUUCCUCCAAUCAACAGCAUUGCAUCACUUGCGGUUGCUCAAAAUAUGCGUGAGCUUUACAGGCUGGUUCUAGUUGAUACACCCUUAGCACCGUACUUCUCAGAGUGCAUUACAUCUGAGGUAAAAACUUUGCAACCAUUGUGCUGUCCAUUUUUGUUGAAAUGGUUAAGUAUACCUUGGUAUGUCAUGCGAGCUUCAUGUUUAUUGUGUAGGAUCUGGAUGACAUGAAUAUUGAGAUCAUGAGGAACACACUCUACAAAGCGUAUCUUGAGGAUUUUUACAAAUUUUGCGCGGUAUGUACUAAAAUAUGGUGGCUUCUACAAUUUUUCUGACUGAAAAUGUUGUUUUGCCUAAUUGUGUUUGGUUUCUAACUAACUUCUUCGCAACAGAAACUAGGUGGUGCGACGGCUGAGAUUAUGUGUAAUCUCCUUUCAUUUGAAGCCGACAGAAGAGCUGUAAACAUUACAAUAAACAGGUAAAAAACUAAACAUUUCAUCCUUAUGUGUGACAGAUCUCCAUGUUUGCCAUUACAUUCACAGACAUCUGACUGCUAAUUUCCUUGUCAUGUUUUUUCAGUAUUGGUACUGAGCUGACUAGAGAUGACCGCCGGAAGCUGUACUCCAACUUUGGUCUAUUGUAGGUUUCCGUUGGAAGUAGCACUAGCAUUACUUUUAGUUAAAAUAUGCCUAUUUUGCAUGUGGUUAUAGUAAUCUGAUGUUUCCAGGUUUCCGUAUGGUCAUGAAGACUUGGCUGUCUGUGAAGAUGUUGACCAGGUUUAUCCCCUGUUCUGCUUUUAAGCUCAAUGUUGGUCAUUCUACUACAUAAAUAUUUUCAGUUGUCUAAACACAGAGUUAUAAUGCCAUGAACUGGUUCAUUUUAUUACCUAACUUUGUGCAUAUUGCUCAGUAUUUCAGGCUUAAGUUCUGUUAAUAUGGUUAUUUCAUGAUAAAAUGUCUCUUUCAGAUGUUUGUGAUAGGGCCAUUGAUAAUAAUUAACUCCUCGUGAGGUCUUUUAAACAUACCAUGUGCCCUAGGCUGAACACUUCCUCCGUAAGAAUGGAGAAGCUUCAUACCUACCAGUCACCAGGGUCAAGGAAUGGGGUUGCCUCUCCCGUGUGGCUUAAAAAAAUGAGGGUAAAGAANNNNNNNNNNNNNNNNNNNNNNNNNNNNNNNNNNNNNNNNNNNNNNNNNNNNNNNNNNNNNNNNNNNNNNNNNNNNNNNNNNNNNNNNNNNNNNNNNNNNNNNNNNNNNNNNNNNNNNNNNNNNNNNNNNNNNNNNNNNNNNNNNNNNNNNNNNNNNNNNNNNNNNNNNNNNNNNCGACAGUAGCAACAGUCUAUUUUCUGUGUUGAUAAUUAUUGCCAAAAACGUGUACCACUUUGUUGAUGGUGCGGAUGGCCAGGUAAGCCUCCAUCAAUUUGCCUGCAAGUUUCGUGUUCCUGAGCUUCCUUUAGGGCCAAUUUAUCCUGGGUUAGGGGACACAUCAUCGACCUGUGUGCCUGGCUUAUCUGAGAAGAAUGAUAUUCCAUUGGAGAUGCUUUUGUGGCAUUUCAUUUGAUGGGCAUAAGUCAAACUCGGCUUACUGGAUGCUCUUUUAUAUCAGCUGCAGUAUGAAUGUUUUGUUUGGCCUACAGCAGUCAUGGUCUCAUUCUGUCAUACGGCUCUUUUCUCGCACGAAGAUUAACAUCAUGUGUUCUUUUUAUUGAAAAUUGCCCUAUGUGGUAUACUUAUCCUGUAAGCAUGUGCAUCUAUUUCUUUCUUUGUGUAUCAUCAGCAUUUGGCAAGCUAGCAUUUUAGCUAACAGUAACACACAUUUAUAUAUUGUCCUUUUUUUGGCGUCUUACCCUCUGGUCUCUCUUGUUAGGAUGACUGUUUUCCUGUUCUGAUUUAUGCUCUCUAGGAUGUAUUGUGGUUUUGAGUGUGCUACUACAUUUUGGAAGUUCUCACUUGAAAGUUAAAUGUGUGUUUUGUUGUUGUGGAGAUGAUAAUAAACAGAGCAUAGGGAAAUCUCAACAAGCAUGUAGUAUUUCAAGAGGGAUUGCAUCUAAUUUAUACUGGAAUUCAGACCAGUGUCCUCUUCAUAAAAGUGAGAUCUGUGCCCACGCAUGAAUUGCUGACGUCAAUACUUUUUUUGUGCUCAUCCCGCAGGUGCGUGGUGUAAUGGAAAAGUACCCCCCAUACCAGUCUAUUUUUGCCAAGAUAUCAUAUGGCGAAAGCCAGAUGUUGGACAAGGCCUUUUAUGAGGAGGAAGUAAAGAGGCUGUGCCUGUCAUUUGAACAGCAGGUACAAUUUUUUAGGUUUACCUUAUAUGUAGGUUUACACAAGUUACUUUAUGUAAACUAUCUGACAGGAAUAACAACAGAUGGUCAAAAUGUAAGAGAUCCGAUAUUGUACACUGGAUGCAUGCAAGUUCUCUAGGUCACUGGUUAUACACUCAAUAAAGAUUAGCAGUAAAGCAGUAAACACCAACUAUUGGUAGGCUGAUUUAGUCAAAGCCUAUAACACGCCCAGCCACAUGAGAGAGGGAUUGCAGCACCCGAGCUCCACUGCUCUCUAUAUCUAAACAUUUUGAAAUUUGUGUUUUUGAAGUUUCAAAAAAAUAUGAAAUUUUUCCCAGGGAUACGUAUACAUAUUCCUAAUAUCUGUGGCAAGUUUCGGUAGAAAUCUCAUUUUGUUUUUGGCUAUAAAAAAACAAAUUUCUGACAGAAUAUAGGAGAAAAGGGAUUUCUCUUUUUUAUAUUUCCCAUAACACAAAGUAUUUCUUUUUCAGAUUUUUACCGGGCCUUAGGAUUGUGUGUAUGUAUUCACGUAUUUGAUUUAAGAUUUUUUUUAGCGACGGAAGUGUGUUUUUCAAAAUUUUCAAAUACCAGGAGCCAUGGAGACCUGGAGCUGCAAGCAGUUUUCGCAGCCACAUGCACUACUGAUGCAUACCAGCGUGGUGCAUACAUACAUGCUUGUAAAAUAUGCGCUAACCAGCCACGACUUUGCACAUGAUUCUAUAGAUCCAUCUUAAGUCAUAACUCUAUUUGAACAACUUGUGAGUGCCCGAUAGUUCUAAAAAAAUGCCAUAAGUGCUAGUGCCUGUUGGUGAGUUUUAUUGUCUCAGAAAACUUGUGAGCUUUGUGUGCCACUAUUUCGGACCUCAACUCUAGAAUUUAAGGUGGGAGCUCUGAUAUUCUCUUCUUGUUUGUGCAGUUCCACUAUGCCGUUUUCUUCGCAUACAUGAGGCUACGAGAGCAGGAGAUAAGGAACUUGAUGUGGAUCUCUGAAUGCGUUGCUCAGAACCAGAAGAACAGGGUCCACGACAGCGUCGUGCCGAUCUUUUAAUCGCCCCCUAUUACUGUGCAUAUGGUUGUACAAAAGGCCUGCUUUGAUGAUGGCACAAUCGAUUGCACACUUUACAAGCUCAUGGUUUGUUAUUACCCCUGUUCCUCUUUCUACGCGGCUGAAAAGCUAGACCUGGAGUAGUGUAUCAUUAUUUGUUUUUGUAGUAAAAAUAAAAGGCGCAGUUGUACGGUAAACUAAAUAAAUGAUGUUUAUUUUCGUAGUGGGUGGCACUAUUUGUGCAGUUUGUUGGCAAUGUAAAAUGUACACCCAAGAUAUCAAAUGGUUUGUUGGCAAAACAGACUCUUUUACUGCAUUAUCAAAUGGAACUUGUGCAGCUUAGAAAAGACAUGGAAAUUGUUGGGCUUUGUUUACUAUUGUGUAUUUUCCCAAGCCUCCUAGCCUUGCACCUUAUAAAAAAAAAUAGAUCAUGAAAAUGCAGGUCUACGAGUAUGUGAUAGUAAGUUUCAUGUACUAUAAUUUAGUGAUGUACGUACGCGUGAUAGUAUCAUUAGAAUUUAUUCCUCACGUAUAUAUCUCGGCAGCUAGGUCGUACAUCCGCUCGUAUUGUUAGGUGCACGCACACAUCAGCACAACGGACGCUGCAUUUACAUUCAGUGAUGAUGAUGAUUUUCAGUUUCUGGAGAAGAGCCUAUGGGAGACGAAGACGCCUAGCGUGAAGGCGGCGACGGCGGUGGCGGCGAUCACCUCCUUGUUCUUACCUAUGGUAUCUGCCCACUUGAACCCCUCCUCCGCCGCCCGCUCCUUCCAGCAGCCUUUCUUCUCCCUCUGCGUCUCCGUCUCUGUCGCCGUCUCAUACUCAAGCUUCUCCUUGUGGUCCUGACCAUCAUCUCCUUUCACCACCUUUUCUGUUGCCUUGGGCUCCUGUUUCCUGUCGUCCACUUUCGUGGCCGGGGGUUCCUUGGCCGUCUCCUCUCUGUGCCUCCCCAGCUGCAACCUUGCCCUCGCCGCCUCGAUCAGCCGCUCCGCCUCCCGGAUAACCUUGGAUUUCUCAUCCGUUGGUUUGUCGCCGACGUCCUUGGCCGGGGCGGAAGGCAGCUUGGGCACGGUGAGCGUGAGCAAGUUGGCGUCGUACCGGCCGGUGAUUGCGUCGAGGUCGGAUGUAGAUGGCAGCUGAAACACCUUGUGCAGCCGCACGUUCCCAGCUCCGCCAUCCGCCGUUUUGUGGCCGAGGAUGUUGAGCCGGCCCGCGGGGUCCACGUGCACCCGGAAGUCCUCCUUCUUGAACCCUUGAUCAACAUAAUGUCACACAACUCAGUAGGUACAACAGCAAAGCUUAAUUCGGGUUCGGGGAGCACCAUUUCAUCCAUCUCACUCAGCACGAGUCACGAACGGGCAUCGCACGUACCUGGGAGGUUGAGGCGGAGGAGAUAGCUGCCGUCGCCGUCGACCCACUCGUACACGGGGUCCAAGUCGGCCGCCACGGCUGACGAUUCUUGCCCGCCCGCCAUGUCGUUUCACUGGGUUUCCCGGGCCGGGCGAUCAGACGGUACCUAGCUAGCUUCAGCCGCGUACUGAUCGAUCGGGCUGGAGGUGCCACCUAGAGUUACUGCCACGCGCCUCAUAUAUAGCAUCAUGUACGCAGCUUGCCUCCUUGCGCUGGUAACGCUAAAACUAUUCGAAGCUUUUCUUGAGGGGCUGGGCUGGCACAAGGAAAAUUUAUCGUGGGGGUCUAGCCAGGGGAUCUCCAUUUCCUCCUCCUAGACGUGUAACGUGUCUUGGGCUCACUAUACUUUGGGCGUGCGCCAGGGUAUCGUCUGUACUAAGAGCAACUUGAAUGGCGCGCCCAUUUUAUCCGCCCAUGUCCGUUUGAGUCUGCGCGACAAAAACGACGGCCCGACGCAGAAACCCAUUUUUAUUUUGCGUCCGCUUUGUGUCCGCGCGAAACCCAUUUCCGUCCUAAAUUUGAGUCACAUUUGGGUCCGAGGCGGAUACGAAGCGGACGUUUUCUCUGUCGCUCUCGUCCGUCUGCGUCCGGGCCUGGCCCGCUUGUCACCCACCCAUCUCUCUCUCUUCGUAUUUAUAUGAGCUGGCCCACUUCCCCACCGCUCGAGGCGCACUUUGCUCCGAUGCGCCCCUGCUUCGCCCCGCUCGCCGCCGUGCUUGAGCGGCCGUGCUCCGCCCCGCUCCCCGCCCCUGCUCCGCCAGGCUCGCCGCUCUCAGGGUCCUCGCGUCGCUUCGUAUCCCGGAGCAGGAGCUGGUCCGGUGGUGCUCUUCGAGCGGUGGUUGAAGGCCGCCGGUGGUGUCGGAGCCGCGAGCCUCCUCCUCCCCGCGCCGCGAUGGCCGGUGCGCGCCCUCCCCCGUCCGCUACGACGCCUCUCNNNNNNNNNNNNNNNNNNNNNNNNNNNNNNNNNNNNNNNNNNNNNNNNNNNNNNNNNNNNNNNNNNNNNNNNNNNNNNNNNNNNNNNNNNNNNNNNNNNNNNNNNNNNNNNNNNNNNNNNNNNNNNNNNNNNNNNNNNNNNNNNNNNNNNNNNNNNNNNNNNNNNNNNNNNNNNNNNNNNNNNNNNNNNNNNNNNNNNNNNNNNNNNNNNNNNNNNNNNNNNNNNNNNNNNNNNNNNNNNNNNNNNNNNNNNNNNNNNNNNNNNNNNNNNNNNNNNNNNNNNNNNNNNNNNNNNNNNNNNNNNNNNNNNNNNNNNNNNNNNNNNNNNNNNNNNNNNNNNNNNNNNNNNNNNNNNNNNNNNNNNNNNNNNNNNNNNNNNNNNNNNNNNNNNNNNNNNNNNNNNNNNNNNNNNNNNNNNNNNNNNNNNNNNNNNNNNNNNNNNNNNNNNNNNNNNNNNNNNNNNNNNNNNNNNNNNNNNNNNNNNNNNNNNNNNNNNNNNNNNNNNNNNNNNNNNNNNNNNNNNNNNNNNNNNNNNNNNNNNNNNNNNNCGGCGGCCGCGGCCUGACGCGGGAGCGGGCGAGUGCGACCGCGGGACAUGGGCGCGGGCGCGACGGCGGGAGGCCAUGGCAAGACGCGGGCGCGAUGCCGGGUGCGGCUGGAGCCCGGAGCUUGUGUCGACGAGCAGCUCAGGGCGGUGGCCCGUCAGGUGUUUGAAGAAAUGCCUGGAUGGACAUGCCCAAAAUGGGUCUGUUCCGUGUUGGGCACACCGGCUGACCCAAUUAAAAAAGCGGACACGGAUGUCCGCCCGGCCGACCCAAACGAACAAAAUGCGGACAAAAUCCGUGUCCGUUUGGAUCACCCCAUUAGAGUUGCUCUAACUCCAUCUCACCUAAGCAACAAAAGAACUCGACAUUUUUUAACUUUCUCUCCGCGUCUCAUACCUCACACAAAUAGUUUAUCCCAAGUAUUUUUUUUAAAAAGGGCAAAAGAUUUCCCACGUAUAUUAAUUAAGAGAGAAUAGAGUUUGUGUUACAAACACCCCUUAACAAUACACGGAAGAAUCACUUUCCCGGCAUAAUGGACCCUAGUUUCUUAGCUCCGGCGGCGACCCAAAAUGAUGCCUCCCUUUUGAUGUUGUCGAGAAGAACCGUAGGCGGAUCGACCAUGUUGCGAAAUACACGGGCGUUUCGCUCGUUCCAGAUCGUCCAUGUAGUGAGCAUGGUGAGCGAGGCCAUGGCCUUCCGGUUGGGGACGGAAGCAUCAGUUAACCCAAGCCACCAGUCUAAGGUGGAAUGCCUCAGGGGCCAAGUAGAGGUGUCAAUGUGAAUGAGUUGCAGCCACGCCUUGACCAAGCCCCAUAGGCGAAUGGUGAAACGACAUUUGAAGAAGAGAUGGUCAACCGAUUCAUUCUCACGCAUGCAUAAGGGGCAUGAGCCACAGUUAGGCCAACCGCGCUUGGCCAAUCGAUCCGCAGUCCAGACUCUAUUUUGGAUGGCCAGCCAAGCAAAGAACUUGACCUUGGGUGGAGCCCAGAUUUUCCAUACUGCAUGCUCCAAGGGAGAGCGAAUGAGGCCGAGAAACUGCGCUUUGUAGGCGGACUCCGCCGUGUAGAGGCCACUAGUAGAAUGCUUCCAAACAAUGUCGUCGUCAAUAUCCUCCUGUAGGUGAAAAUCCCGGAUGGUGGCCCAAAGCUCGAGAAAUUGUCUGAAGUGCUCUAUAGAAAAAUCGGACGUCAUCUUGAUCUUUUUAACCCAAGCGCCAUCCUUUAGUGCUUCCCGCACCUUCCAAUUCUUCCUCGUUGACGCCGCAUAGAUGAGAGGGCCAAAUCCAUGGGUUUGCGGUUGUGCACCCACGGAGAGUCCCAAAAGGGGAUGCGCGCGCCAUUUCCCACGAUAAUAGUUGAGGAGGCAUAGAAGAAGUUGUAGUCUGCGUUAUCGCACAGGUUACCCAUGCCGACCCACAUCUUAUUUGGCUCCUUCCACUCAAACCAAAUCCAACGAAGCCUUAGUGCCCUAGCAAAUUUCUCCGUGUUUAGCACUCCAAGACUCCCAUUGGCAAUUGGGCGGCAAAUGGUGUCCCAGUUAACCUUGCAUUUGGCCCCGGUGGUCUUGUCUGUUCCCUCCCAAAGGAACGCUCGCUCAAGCUUGUUGAGAUUUUUGAGGGUGCUUGUGGGGACGACGAGCGUAGUGAUGAAGUAUAUGGCUUGGGAGGGAAGCACCGACUUGACCAAGGCGGUGCGUCCCAUAGACGUGAUGUUUUGCCCGUCCCAAGGGACCAACUUUGCCGCCGCCUUAUCCUCCAGGAACUGAAAGUCCACCUUCCUGAGCCGCCACACAGAGAGCGGGAGGCCUAAGUAAUUCAUGGGGAAGGAUCCGCGCGCCGCCGGAAGGUUUUGAAGGAUGUCCGACAGGUUGAUGUGCCCACAACGGAUUGGGGUGACCGAGCUCUUGUGAAAGUUGGUGGCUAGACCGGUGACAUCGCCAAAAAGACAAAGGAUGUUGGAGAGGUUGUCAAUAUCGUGCUUGAUGGGUGCCAUGAAGACCGCCGCGUCGUCCACAUAAAGGGAGGUUCGUAAAAGAACCCCACGGCCACGGAUUUUAUGAAAUAGCCCUCUAGUUGCCGCCAUCUCUAGAAUUCUUUGGAGUGGGUCGACCGCGACCACAAAUAGCAAGGGGGAUAUAGGGUCCCCCUGCCGGAGACCCUGGCCAUGGAUGAUGGGGCUGCCAGCGACGCCGUUAAGAAGAAUCCGCGAGGAUGAGGAGCAAAGUAGGGCGGUGAUCCAAUCUCGAAAAAUGCUCGGGAACCCCCUACGGCGGAGGAGGUCAAUGAUAUACUCCCACUUGACUGAAUCAAAUGCCUUCGAAUGUCCAACUUGAAGAGAAGCGAAGGGGUUUUGCACUUGUGGAGCCUCCGCGCAAGAUUCCUCACAUACAUGAAAUUGUCAUGGAUGCUUCUUGUCUUGAUGAAAGCACUCUGCGCGUUGGAGACAAGGUGGAGCAUGUGGUGGCUAAGACGGAUGGCGAGGACCUUUGCAAUGAUCUUGGGAAUAGCAUGAAUCAGACUAAUUGGACGGUAGUCGAAGAUUUCUUCAGCUCCAUCCUUCUUUGGGAGCAGUAUAAUGUUGGCGGAGUUGACCCAAUGAAGGUUGGCCGUGCGGAGGUUACCGAAGCAAAAGAUGGCCUUCAUAAUAUCAUGCCUGAUGAUGGCCCAACAACUCUUGAAGGAAAGCCCGGUGAAGCCAUCCGGUCCGGGCGCCUUGUCACCAGGCAUCUGGUUGAUGGCCUCACGCACCUCCUCCUCGGAGAAAGGGUCCGCGAGGUUGCCCAAAUCAUCACGGGCCUAAAUGUCCAACCCCUCCCAGUUGAAGUCUGUGGUCGCCGUGGAUCCUUUUCCCAUGGUCGAGGAGAAAUAGUUGUGGACAAUAGCCUCCUUUUGAGAGUGCUCAGUGACCCAUCCACCGGUGUGCUUGAUACGGUGUAUGUGGUUCUUGCGUCUUCCGGCGGUGGAAAAAUUUGGUGUUUGCAUCCCCCUCUUUGAGGUUGGAAAUCCUAGCACAUUGCUUUUUUCUCGCCCUCUCAAGAAUUGCGAAGGCAAUAACUCUCCGCUUAAGCCUAGAGCGGAGCUCCAGCUCCUCAACAGAGAGGUGCCUCGAGUCUUGAGCCAUGUCCAGGUGAAGAAUUACUAGCAAGGCAGCAUGAUGCAUGAUCUUGGCCUUUCAGAAUAGGCCCUUACUCCAUCUCAAGAGUUUGGCUUGAAACUUGUGGUGCAAUAUCCGAAAGGGGUCGGUAUGAUGAGUGUGCUCAUUCCAUGCAUUAGCAACCACAUCGCUAAACCCCAGAAGAGAAGUCCAAAAAUUCUCAAAUUUGAAUCGUUACCACAUCCCAAGUAUGACAGACUAUUGUUCCAGGUUUUGUUAUUUAGCUUCUUAAUAAAUCGUUACCACUAUAGCACAACACGCAGCUCCUCAAACAAUGUCAGUACUAAGCAUGCAUCCAAGAGGAUUAAUUACUCACACAUCAAAUGGAUCAACUGGAACAAGGGCAUCAAGGAAUGAAUUGAACACACUGUCUGUAACCGCCAAUCUGUCACAUUUGACAAGAUUCACAGUAGGUCUUAACCACCAGAAAUUAUUGACAGGCGCUGAUGAUCAAAUCAAAAUAAUGAGGUCGUCAAGGCUAACAUUUGCCUAGGAAACAGAUUAUGUGGACAAAGGAGGAAUUCAAGAUCAAAAUGAAAGCGCAAAGAGAUGACCUGGGGCCAUGUUAUUCCAAUCCAGCAGAACUUAACUUUUUUUUUUCAAAACAUAGGGUCCCAGCUGUGCAUCUCAAGGCUUUAGCACCAAUGACAGACCAACUUUUGUGCUCUUCUCAAUUGCCUUUGUGUCAACCUCGCCGGAGAUGGUGACAAGUGACUUGGGUCGCCAUUCAUGCUGGACAAGGGCACUGGCCAUGCCAUAGUUGUUGAAGCGUGCCUUCACACUGGUGUGCGGGUCCAAUGAGUGCUGCGAUCCAAAUAUCAAUGUGCUCUCGUUCCUUGGGAAGUUGUGGGACAGCUCUGCUCCAACAGCAGUGCUUGAAUGUGACUUUACUAAGUGGUAGUAAGACGCAGUCAAGGUGUCACCGUGAUUGUUCCUGGAUGAGAUUUGAAAGUUCAUUACCAGAGCAAAUGCUAUUAUAAUAAAGCAAUGAAGCACCGCACUUGACACCUUAGUAUGGAAUCAGAUUGCUAAUCAGCAUUACCUAUCAAUCUUGAAAGAAUUACAUAGUAGUAAUACAUAUGAUAGCUGCACAUAUAGAGAUACUUACAGGUGGAGUGAAGCAAUAAGAUCCGGAUACGUGAGGCUUAAAGCAGCAUUGUACUUGGUGAAAUUGCUAGUUGCCGUGUCAAACGAAACGUCAACACCAACUGAUAGUUCUUUGCUUCCGAAUACACCAGAAAGGUUAACCAUAGGGUUGGGGUUCAGCCCAACACUUGCAUUGACACCGGCGAAUCCAUGGAGAUACUGGAGUUCAAGCUGUCAAGGCAAAAAAAUACAAAUUAAAUCUCCUAUCGCAGUGAUCACCAUAUUGCAGAUUAGAAGUUUAAGCAAACGGAGUGGUAAGAAAAUUAUACCUUCCCUGACCUCUGGUCUGGAACAACCAAACUGAGAAUUGAUUUCAGCCCUGGAGUUGCAAACUCGUCAACUGUGAAUGUUGUCAGAAGCUGGAAGACGUGAAAUAUUCAUCAGCGAAUAAAAAAUCUCAAGAACUGUAACAUUGCUGUGAAUUAAUAUUAUGAGGCAUAAAAGAAAAGCCAAAUAUGUGAGAAAUAAUAUCAAGGGAAAACAAGCAAUCAGAUGUUUAUACAUGAUUCAUGUGAGAGAAAAAGGGAGAGUCGGAGCAAAGGCGGCUUACAUCUGACUCUGAGUUUGCUUUGAUAUCAACUGUCAAGUUCUUGUUCUUAAGCUGGGUCUGAAGCUCGCCAAAGAUUGACUCGUUUUUCCUAGUUCCUGCAGCUGUGAUUGCCUGUACGUAAACCAAAAUCAUUAAUACGUAGUAGCGCACAAAUACUAGACAGAGACACGGUUACCGAAACCAUACAGGUAAACCAAAACCAUCAAUAUGGAGUGCACAAAUCAUAUCCAGAGACAUGGUUACCUAAACCAUAUACUGAUCAUGAGUACAUUUCCUCAAGAAAUGCUUCGUGUCAAGGAAUCAAAAGAUGCACAAUCCAGUCAAGGUGAAAGGGAAAAGGGUAAAGUUCUGGCAGCUCGUUGCGAAAGUGAAGAGACGGUCCCUAAACAAAGAUUUAAUAUCCUUGUAACACAUGAGGGUCCACAGUCUCCCUCCAUGGCCAAAACUGAAAACUCUACAUGCAGAACAGGCACACACGGAAUGAGAACAGCUCGACACAGUGGCACGGCGGCGAUCUGUGUCGGCAACGGCGGUACAGAGGCACAAAAUAGAGAUCGGCGGGCAUCAUUCUAACAUGCAUUUGUACCGUAAGUAGUCGAUCAAGGUGGGGAAUGCGUGGCGGACCGUAACUGGGACACUGCUACGGGACACAAAUUUGCGAAAUCGCUAUGGAACAAGUGCGAGGGAGAGGAUGGCACUGGUACUCACGACGCCCUCGGGGGUGCAUGUGGUGAGGGUGAACUUCUGGUGCGUGCAGUAGUCCCUGUAGAGCAGAUCUGCGUGCAAAUCAUCACAUCACAUCACAGCAUCAUCAAGAUCGGCACCGGAGAGGCAAUCAGAGGAGGGGAGAGAGGGACUGGCGGCACCUCUGGUCUUCUUGCCGAUGUCGGUGUAGAGGCCCGGAGCCAUGGCGGCCGGCGACGGAGACGACGACUUGGGUGGUGGUGGGGAGAAGAGAGCGGGAGAGAGAUCGCGGGGAAGCGGCAGCGUCGGGCGGAGGCUGCGGCGACCAGUUAAAAUGGAGUCGUGGCAGAUCUUGCCCCUAUCGUUUUCACUUUACAAAAUGUUUGUUUUUCUGCGAUUUUGGAUGAUUCGUGUGCUGGUGUCGAGUAAAUUGCACAGAAGUACCACAAUUGGGGCAUUGGAAGCAGAUUGAUACCAAGAUUGGUAAUUUUUACGUGUCAGUACCAACUUUGAGGCGAGACGUUGCAAAAGAGGCUAAAAGUGAUGUUUAUACGUAUUGACAGGGAAACUGACCGGUUGGGCCCGCCCGUCAGGCGCCACGCUGGCCAGUGCGCGCGUCGCCUGCGCUGACUCGGACGAGGCCGGCUCGGCCCGUUUAUGUGCGACCGAGCCAGACCCCGACCCCGACCGCGCUCGCUUCUUCUUUCUUUCUUCCUGCCUCGCCGUCGCCUGCGCCCGCCACCGCCGGCCGCCACAGCACGCCGCCGCAGCCAUGGUUCUGGAGGACGAGAGCAGCGACGACAACUCAAGCCUCCCGUACAUGCACUCCGAAACCUCCACCGAUGGGCUGAACCAGGUAAGUUACUCCAUUAGAGCUAGGGUUAGGGUUAGGUUUAGGAAAUUUGGGGAUUUUUGUGUGUAGGUGGUCUUUGUUGUUAGGAUUUCGUUUGAUUUGAUUUGUCAUCGUCCUCUGCACAUGAUGGUAACUUGGAUUUUGCUUGGGCAGGUGCCUUUCUCUCUUGAGGACCCGGAUUACAAGGGUCUUGAGCUAGAUCUGAUAGUGUUGUGCGAGAAGCAUGGGUCAGAGAGGCUUGUUGCGUUUGAAGGAACAAUGACUGGGAGAAGGUUCUUAGCAUGUGCAGAGCCGGUAAUUUUCUUGCCUUGGUGAUUAAGCACUGGAUGUGUUCAUUGAAAGUGGCAGAGUCUUGUUUGCCACCUGUGAUUCAGUUAUGUGCAUGCUAAAUUUGUUAGGAAUGAUCAUUAUUAAGUUCAGUGGAAUGCAUUUAUUAGAAAAUAUAUGCUCCUGUUGUGUGCACAUGCUAUUUAUUUACACUUCUUUCCAAAUGCAGUGUUGCUCAAUAUUAAGUUCAGUGGAGCCAGUUAGUAACAAUUGCUUACUGCUGACAGUAGGUAGUCUCAUUAGCUAGUUUGUUGCUGCAGGCUAGUGUAGUGUAUUUAGGUGGGCAAAGUAGUUUUGGAUGUUAACAUAUACCACUCCUCAACAGUAAUAAACAGAGCCUGCGGAUUUCAUUAUAUUAAUGGUCAAUUCUUAGCAACUGCUGUUGCUUAGCACAUGGCUGCUUAGCAACUUCUAAGUUGAAUGGAGUGUUACUCUGGUGCCUGGUAAAUAUAUGAGUUGAUCAUGCAUUGUAGGAUUACAUUAAUCUAUUUUACAAUGUGGUCCUGUUGCUUAGCAAAUGGCUGUGCAAAUCCAGUUAAUGUCAGUGCCAACAUUAGGUACUGCCAUGAACUAACUAUUGCUUAGUACUCUUAGUAGUUGUAUUGUACUAAAUUUUGCCCUUAUAAUUUUUCCAGGAAGGUCAGAAUUGUGGGUUUGUUCAGUGGGUUGAUGAGCAGUGGCCCCCAACAAUGGAGAAUGCAUUGCUGAAGCUUUGGUCAAUGGUUGAAGAGAGCAAGUCUGCUAGGGUGAAUGAUAAUCUUCAAAGUGCUCUAACUAUUCAUCAGUUGAUAGAAGAAAAGAACAAGCUGGAUGCAGACUAUGACAAGUUAGUGAAAGAUGUGCAUCAACUUGUGGACUUUCAGCAGGAUAGGGUUGUGGAUUUCAGUUAUCUGCAGUCUGCUGUCACAUAUCAGCACCAAUGCAGAGCUGAAUUGGUGGCUGGUAUGAAUGCAGAAAUGGCAAAGAAAGAUGCAGCUGCACAGAAGCUUCAACAAAAGUAUGAACUCCUGUGCAACCUGACAAGUGCUCAAGCAACUGUCAUCCAAAACUUGAAGUUGAAGAAUAUGAAAGAGAAGGAAUUGUUGAGUGAGGGUAGGAUGAAUUUGGAGUUGAAGAAUGCAGAGUUCACAAAGUUUGAGGAGAAGCUCACCCAAGAGAAGCUAGAGUUGAAGCUCCAGGUUGCUGAUCUGCUGAAACUCAAGGAAAACCAUAAUGAAGAGAAGCAGAUGCAAGAGUUCAAGAUUACUGAGCUCAUCAAGGCAGAGGAGAAGCUGAAGGAGAAGAUCAAGGGGAUCCAGGCCAUCUUGCAGAACUGAACAAGAUGACUUGAGAUUAGUGGGCAUUGCAGACCUUUUGGGAAUGAUGGUUGUGCAAUGACCUAGUAACUUAGAAUUAUGGUUGUGUAAUGUAUGGUUCUAGUACUAACUGUGAACUCUGGUUGUAACUCUAGUAGUUAUGCUAUUCAUCCUUUUGUGAGAAAAGGAUGGAUUGUGCAUUUGAACUCCACUAUGUAAUGUGAUCAAUGUGAACAAUGGAUAUGUAUUCUAUAAUGUGUUGAACUCCAGUGUUACUUAUGUUAUAGUGAUGCUUAAAUGCUUAAAUGCAUUUGCAAAAGUAAUGCUUAUGUUAGAGUGAUGCCUUUAGGUGUUUUCGUCGACCCCGAGCCACCAAAACCCUAAUUGAUAGGUUUAGGUGUUUUCGUCCACCCCGAGCCACCCUAGACCCUAAAUGAUGCCUUUAGGUGGUUCCGUCGACCCCGAGCCACCCUAGACCCUAAAUGAUGCCUUUAGGUGGUUCCGUCGACCCCGAGCCACCCUAGACCCNNNNNNNNNNNNNNNNNNNNNNNNNNNNNNNNNNNNNNNNNNNNNNNNNNNNNNNNNNNNNNNNNNNNNNNNNNNNNNNNNNNNNNNNNNNNNNNNNNNNUUUAGGUGGUUCCGUCGACCCCGAGCCACCCUAGAGCCUAGAUGAUAGGUUUAGGUGGUUCCGUCGACCCCGAGCCACCAAAACCCUAGUUGAUGCCUUUAGGUGGUUCCGUCGACCCCGAGCCACCAAAACCCAAAGUGCUUCUGUUUUAGCCUAGACCUUAACAACAUAUCGAACAAUGUAUACAACAAUAUAUCCAGCAACAGAGUAACUCUAUCCAAUAGUAUGCACCAUUGUCAUGAACAUAUCAAUCAUAAAAAGAUAUAAAAAGAACCAUCCACAUGAACAUAGUCCAUUCCAUCCACAUGAACAAAAGCCAGCUCCAGAAAUGGCAUUAACUAAUAAAUAAAUCCAUCCAUCCACAUGAACAAAAGCCAUAUAUGGCAUUGAUUCUUAAAGUACACCAGCAAAGUACAAUAAGAGCACCAGCAAAGUACACCGAGAGCACCAGCAAGAUCACAUUGUACCAUAGGAUGCAAGAACACACAUGAAGUAUCUAGUUUUGAACAUUACAUGGCACAUGUGCCAUUUAGUGGUUACCACUUGCAUAGAAGUAGGCUCUCCAUCCUCUGUUUCUACCACCAGAAGGUGGAGUAGCAGUAGAUGUAGAGGGAGCAGUAGAUGUGGAGGGACCAGAUUGCCUUGGGGCAGAGAAUGUACCUCUCCCUCUCCCAGCACCUCUCCCAGCACCUGGUGCAGCACCUCUACCAGCACCUCUAGCAGCACCAGUCCCAGCAGCUGCAGCUGCAGCCCCUCUCCCAGCUCCUCUCCCAGCUCCUCUCCCAGCUCCUGUUCCAGCUGUUGGUGUUGUUGUAGGAGUUGGAUGAGAAGUUGUUGAUGCUUGUGUAGUAGCACCAGCACCAGCAUUGGAAUUCCUUGCAAGAGGCUUGCAUAAACAAAGAAGGAAAAUGAGUUAGUACUUAAAAAAAUAGAAUGUACAAGAAGGAAAACCUGUUACUACUUAUUAGAGGAUUACCACAUGUUUGUUCUUCCUCAAAGCCAGCUCAGGUUUCAACUGCUUGUUGCAGCUUGUGUACCUAUGUCCUUGCAGUCCACAAUUGCCACAUGUUAUAGUCCCCAUUCUUGAUGUCUCCUUAGGCUUUGGGACUUCAAAUUUCCCCUUGAUCCUCUUCUCUUUCUUUCUUAAAUGCAGGUGGGUCAAUGUCUGGACCAGGUGUCCUUGUCCAGUCAUGCUCACCAGGAACUGGAUAGAUCAUUGGUUCAUAAGCUGCCAGAUAAAUUUCUUUCUUGAAGAACUUGCUGACAUAAUCCUCUGGUUUUCUUUUGGCCUUGUUUAUUGCUGAGAUGGCAUGGUUACAUGGGAUGCCACUUAGGUCCCAUUUUCUGCACCCACAUGUGUGCUGGUGCAAGUUAACAGCAUGGGUUUGCUGCCCGCUUGUAACUUGCCACAAGUCCACACCAGCUUGAAUUGGUUUGCAGUAUUUGGCCCUCUCCUUCUCAACCUCUAGCUUCUCACUAUAAUGGGGUGUUAUGUCCCAUCUAGCUUUCUUUCCACUCUCCCUAUUCCUAUGCCACCUCACCAUCUGCUUAUCCUUUAUUCCAUCACACAUUGUCCUAAUUGGUUUCUUCCUAACAUCUAGGACAUACUUGUUGAACACCUCAGAUAAAUUGUUAACUACAAGGUCAGUCUUGCAGUUUGUGUCAAAUGCAUGCCUUGCCCAUGUUUUCUUGGGUAUUUGACAAAGCCACUCCCAAGCUUGCUCACACUCAGCUCUAAGGUCAUUCAUUGCAAUGUUAAAUUUGUGUUCACUAUAUGCAUAGGCAGCAUUAUCCAUACACUUUUUCAGAUCUUCCCCCCUAAACCCAGCAUUUUGGAAGUUUGCAUAGAUAUGCCUAAGGCAGAACCUUUGGUUGCACUUAGGAAAGACAGCAUUCACUGCAUUUAGUAGGCCCUGGGACACACAAUUAAACUAGCUAAGCUACUAUCUAGCAAAAAACAACCAUAUAGGAACAAUGACAUAAGAUGCAAGCACAUACCUUUUGUCUAUCUGACAUUAUUGUAUAUGGACCAAACCUUCCCACUUCUCCUCCUAGGCAGAUUUUAAGUUGGUGUAGAAACCAACACCAGUUAGGUGUGUCCUCUUGCCCAACAAUACCAAAUGCUAGUGGGUAUAUAUUGUUGUUGCCAUCUCUACCAGUGGCAGCAAGUAGUUGAGCACCAGUAGUUAACUUAAUGAAGCACCCAUCAACACCUGAGCAAGCAAAUUCAGUAUUAAAAACAUUCAAAUGCAUUUCUAGAUGAAACAAUAUGUAACUAAUGCACAAGGUGAACAAACUAACCAAUGAAUGGUCUGCACCCCUUGAGAAACCCCUCCCUUGCUCCAUUGAUGCAAUAGAACAUAGCAUGGAAUCUUGGACCUGGAUGGGGGAUUUUUUCAGUGGGUGUUAGAGUUACAGUAGUGACUACUACUCUACUCCCAGGGUUUGUAUCCAUCACUGUCUGAGCAUAGUCUUUCAACCUAGGGUAUUGCUUCUUGUGGUCUCCUAGCACAGCAUCAAUAGCUAGGUUCUUUGCCCUAUAUGCCAUUGACUUGGGCACAUCCACACCAUACUUCUCCAUGCAGGCAUCAAUCAAAGUCUGAAUGCCAGUUGUUAGAUCAGAUCUGAACAGUGACUCAUACUUCUGUGCAAGCCACUUGGCACUUACCCUUGUUGUCUCUGUACUAAUAGGGCAAGUGUGCUUAAUUCUCAUCUUCUUAAUUACAAAAGUAGUUUCACCUUUUAUAACUGCUGCCACCAUAAAGAAGUUGCAAUGUUUUUGGUUGCAUUCUACAAUUAUUCUUUGAUCUGAGUUCCUAUGAUAUUUGAAGUUUCUGCCUUGAGUGAUGUGUAAGUUCAACAAAGCCUCUCUGAAUUGAUGUUGAUCCUUGAAACACAUCUGUAGACAUAAUUGCUCAUGUGGUGCCUCCAUUUUCUCAUUGUACCAUUUUCUAGGAGGCCUCUGCUUUGCCCUGCUCUUCCUUUUCUUUGGCAGCACAAAUGCCAAUGGCUCAUAACCAUCAUCAUCAGCCUCCUUCAACAAUCCUUUCUGUUCUUCAUCAGAUGAAGGUUGGAAAUCAGGUUCCUCCUCUUGAACUACACUUGAAUGUGUCCUUGUUGUAGGCCCUUUUCUAACUAGAAGCUUCUGUUUCUUCUUCUUCUUCUCUUCAUGUACAAUUACAGUUUCUUCAUCCUGUGAAACAACCUUGUCAUCUUCAUCCAUUUCAAAAGGUUCCUCAACCUCUGUGUCACCAGAGUAAUGCACCAUUUCUUCCUCCUCAGAUUCUUCAUCAUCUGUUUCUUCCUCUUCUACUUCAUCAUACUCUCUCUGUUUCUUUCCCUCAUCCAUCUCUAUGUCAUCAGCAUCACCCAUAUAAAAAGGGUUUACAUCACUGUCAUCUUCACCUUCACAAUCAGAACCACCACUGCCAUCAUAUCCCUCUUCUUCUUCUAUUUCCAAAACAGCUUUCAGUUUUCCUUUUACAUUCUUGCUCUCUUGUGUGCAAACACCAGUACCAUGAGCUACUAAACUGCAGCUGCUACUCUGACUUUCAAAGGCAACUCCUUCUUCAUCAACAGCAUAGAUAGGUGGCUCACUGAGAUCAUAUAACACAACAGUGGAUAAUUCUUGCCUCUGAAACUUGCUGCAAGGAGGUGGACAUGCCCUCACUAGCAAAUUUAAAACCUUACACUCCUCAACCUGCCUCUUUACUAGUUGCAACUCAGCAUUACUCUCUACCAUCUCCAAUCUUUUCUCCCCUAAAUCUGGAUUCUCAAUGUGAAACAGCAGAUCAUAUUCACUAAAUCCUUGGGUUUCCAUCACUGCAAUCAUAUUCAGGUAUGUUACAUCUGAACUGCAGAGCUUCAGCUCUAACAUUUCUGAAGCAUCAAAAAAGAACCUAACAUCCAAAAUGUCAUCAUACAAACUGCAAAAUGAAAUAACAGACAAAAUUGGUUAAUAAACAAUUUUACUUAACAUACUGUCUAACAUAUAAACAAAGAUUUGUUUCAGUUAACAUAUAAACAAGUUAACAUAUAAACAGAGUUUUGUUUAGGUUAACAUAUACACAAGUUAACAUAUAAACAGAGCUUACUGCACUAGUUAGGCCUAGCAAUUAACAUAUAAACAGCAGUUAACAUAUACCACUCUGCUCUAGUUAGGCCUAGCAAUUGCACUCUGCUCUAGUUAGGCAGUAGUUAGGCACUAGUUAGGCCUAGCAACUGCAUUACUGUUGAGGAGUGUAUUUACCACUCUGCUCUAGUUAGGCCUAGCAAUUAGAGUGCUAAACAUGCAGGCAGUACACUCUAACCCUAAUCCCCAAUUUCAGUGAGCAAGAAUGGAUCAAGAAUGGAACAAUGGAGCACUUACAGAACACCACCGAAGCCAUGAGUCCAGUGAUGGGCGGUGCUAGGGUUGUCCACCCAAAUUCGCGCCAUCCGCAGCCUCUGCUCCAUCGACAACGCCGGCUCCGCAAAAUCUUCCUCCGCGCUACUGUACUCUGAGCUGGAGUAGCCGCCACUGCCAUCGAAGCGGGGGAGGUCGCCGCCGCUCGCAUCGCCCAGGCCAUCGCCGCCUGCCGGAGUCGCCGAGGCCAUCGUCGCCUAGGGCACAGCAGCCGCGGGGGAGAGGAGGGCACAGCGUUCGCGGGGGAGAGGAAGGCACAGCGGCCGCGGGGGAGAGGAGGGCACAGCGGCCGCGGGGGAGAGGAGGGCACAACGGCCGCGGGGGAGAGGAGGGCACAGCAGCCGCGGGGGAGAGGACGGAGGUGACAGCGCCUGAGCUGUUCGAUCGAUGGCUACGGCGGCGUGGUGCGCCGGCGGCGGGGCGGGCGGGGAGGCAGCCGCUGGCGAGGUGCGAGGAAAAGGACAGGGCAGAGCGGGGUCGGGGUCGGUCGCACCAACGGGCUCGGUCGCACCAACGGGCCGAGCCGGCCUCGUCCGAGUCAGCGCGCAGCCAGCGCAGGCGACGCGCGCACUGGCCAGCGUGGCGCCUGACGGGCGGGCCCAACCGGCCAGUUUCCCUGUCAAUACGUAUAAACAUCACUUUUAGCCUCUUUUGCAACGUCUCGCCUCAAAGUUGGUACUGACACGUAAAAAUUACCAAUCUUGGUAUCAAUCUGCUUCCAAUGCCCCAAUUGUGGUACUUAUGUGCAAUUUACUCGCUGGUGUCGCGUCGCGUGGGCGGGACCGAGCAAAGCUGUCGUUGGACCGUGCGUCCGCGUCCGGAACGUGGAGGGAUCUCUCUCGAUCAUCUCUUUUUUCUUUGUCAUGCUUCAAAAUCUCUCUCUUCUUACUUUUUUUUAAAACAACUUGAAACUUUAUUAAUUAGAAAUAAUUGUUACAUCGUCUAUCAAGAGAGUUACAAGAUCUUCCAUGGGCUCCUUUAUCCAAUCUCUAGUCAUGAACCUUUUACUAAUCUAGCAAGCUCAUGAGCUAAUUUAUUCGCUUCUCUGUUACAAUGUUUAAAACUAGUUUGAGGAAAAUCACAGGCCAUAGAAAAACAAUCCUCAAAAAUUGCAGCAGUCGGUCCCGCAGACUGUCCUCCGUUCUUCAUUGUGUCGAUGACCUCCAUAUUAUCAGAAUUGAUGAUUAGACGAUUGCAGCCCGUCUUUUGUGCCAACAGUAACUGAGUGCUACUGCCUCUGCUGUCAGGGCAUCCGCACAGUACUGAAUCCUCCAGUUACCACCUACUACGAAGUUUCCUUUGUCAUUUCUGAUAACAGCACCCGCUGUGCCUCUUAGCUGAUCAUGAUCAAAAGAAGCAUCCACAUUCAAUUUAACGAAACCCCUAGGAGGUCUGCACCAUCCUUCAUUCUUUCUCUUUGCUUUAGGAGAGUGGGCAUUUACAUAGUUCGAUGUUAUAGCCCGAAUCCCCAUCGAGGUUUGGGACGCCUCUUGAGACUUACCCUCAUGGACUAGUUUCCGUCUAUUCCAUCAUAAAUACCAAGCAGCUAUAGCAAUAAGUUCCCCUGCAUUCUGGGAGCCCAAGAUGGGUAGUUCAUGACCAGGCAUAAGGAGUAGGAAUUCAAGGACUGCCUCUCCUGCACGAUCAACGACGCAGGCUUUUUUUACCACUUCAUACAACCCCAAAUGUUCCCACACUUCUUUUGUCUUCUCGCACAGAAAUAAUAUAUGUUUCGUGUCCUCUGGCCCGUCCAAACAUGUUGGGCAUAUUAGCUGAGUUUUUAUAUGUCUGUUGGCCAAUGUAACACGACACGGCAGAGUCCAGUGAAGCGUCCGCCAAAUAAUUUUUUUAACCUUCGCCGGACAAGCUAAUUUCCAGAUCUUACCCCAAAUAGGAUUGACCUUGCUUCUACCCAUGCCAUUCGAGUAUUCCAACUUCCUCCCAUGUUGCUUAUUCCAUUCCUCCACAUAAGUUGACCGUACAGUGAAUAAACCGUUUGUUGUAUAGCUCCACGCAAUAAAGUCUGACAUAUUAUGCAUAGGGAUUGGGAUCGCUAGGACUCUAGGGGCAUCAAUUGGCCAUAGAGUUUGUCUCACCAAAUCUUCAUCCCAGCCAUUAGUGACUGGGUUAAUAAGAUCAGAAACUUUCGUCAAUAGAUUCCCCCUUCUAGGUGUAAUAAUUUUCCUGUCUGCACAAUUUGGGAUCCAUGCAUCUCUCCAUAUGUCAAUAUUUCUCCUGUUCCCACUCUCCAUAUAUAGCCAUUCUUGAGAGAGUCCACUCCCGCCAUAAUGCUUUGCCAAGUAAAGUGUAACGCACACGAUGCGGCUAUAUCUCCCACGUGUCGAGGCACGACUUAGAGGCAUAACUGCAUUGUGGUUCUGUCGCAAGAAGGGUCAUCUUCACACAAUCCCAUGUAAUGAACAAGAAUGGGAUAAAGAGUUGGCUUACAAUCGCCACUUCACACAAUACAUAAAUAAAUCAUACAUCAAUCAGAGUACACACAUAGACCGACUACGGGCAAAUCCAGAUAAAAAGAAGAUAACCCCAAAUGCUAGAUCCCCGAUCGUCCCCAACUGGGCACCACUACUGAUCAACAUGAAAAGAAACAUAGUAAUGACCAGGGUCUUCAUCGAACUUCCACUUGAGCUCGGUUGCAUCACCUGCACUGGUAUCGUCGGCACCUGCAACUGUUUUGGAAGUAUCUGUGAGUCACGAGGACUCAGCAAUCUCACACCCGCGAGAUCAAGACUAUUUAAGCUUAUAGGAAGGAUGGGGUGAUGAGGUGGAGUUGCAGCAAGCACUAAGCAUAUAUGGUGGCUAACAUACGCAAAUAGGAGCGAGAAAAGAAGCAACGGAACGGUCGUGAAGCUAGAAGUGAUCAAGAAGUGAUCCUGAAACUACUUACGCACAACCAUAACACAAGAACCGUGUUCACUUCCCGGACUCCGCCGAGAAGAGACCAUCACGGCUACACACGCAGUUGAUGUAUUUUUAAUUAAUUCAAGUGUCAAGUUCUCUAUAACCGGACAUUAACAAACUCCCAUCUGCCACAUAACCGCGGGCACGGCUUUCGAAAGAUAAUACCCUGCAGGGGUGUCCCAACUUAGCCCAUUAUAAGCUCUCACGGUCAACGAAGGAUAUUCCUUCUCCCAGGAAGACCCGAUCAGUCUCGGAAUCCCAGUUUACAAGACAUUUCGACAAUGGUAAAACAAGACCAGCAAAGCCGCCCGAUGUGUCGACAAUCCCGAUAGGAGUCGCACGUACCUCGUUCUCAGGACACACCGGAUGAACACUACGUACAACUAAAACCAGCCCUCAAGUUUCCCCGAGGUGGCGCUGCAAGUGGCUCUAGUUUGGACCAACACUCCGAGGAGCACUGGCCCGGGGGGGUAAAAUAAGAUGACCCUUGAGUCUGCAGAACCCAAGGGAAAAAGGCUUAGGUAGGCAAAUGGUAAAACCAAGGCUGGGCCUUGCUGGAGGAGUUUUAUUCAAAGCGAACUGUCAAGGGGGUCCCAUAAAUCACCCAACCGUGUAAGGAACGGAAAAUCAAGGAACAUAACACCGGUAUGACGGAAACUAGGGCGGCAAGAGUGGAACAAAACACCAGGCAUAAGGCCGAGCCUUCCACCCUUUACCAAGUAUAUAGAUGCAUUAAUUAAAUAAGAGAUAUUGUGAUAUCCCAACAAAACAUAAUCCAACAUGGAGCAAUCUUCAUCUCCACCUGCAACUAGCAACGCUAUAAGAGGGGCUGAGCAAACGCGGUAACAUAGCCAAACAACGGUUUGCUGGGAAGGGUGACAAAGGUUAGAGGUUCGUGGCAAUUUGGGAGGCUUGAUAAGCAAGUGGUAGGUAACGCGGCAUAGCAAUAGAACGGACAACUAGCAAGCAAAGAUAGAAGUGAUUUCGAGGGUAUGGUCAUCUUGCCUAAAAUCCUCACAACUCCGGAACGAAACCGAAGCUAACGAGAGAAGCAACCCGGAAAGAAACAAACAACAUAGUAAACAACCAUCACAUAAACAUGGCAUGAUGCACAAACAAGUAUGAUGCAUGUCCGGUUUAAAUAUGCAUGGCAUGGCAAAGUGCACAAACAAUACUACAAAUUAAGUGAAGCUCAAUAUGCAACAAGUUGCAUAUUGAAGAAACACCACAUCAAUUAUUUAGUUUUCUCUCGUUUAUGUACCCAACAAUAUUAAAUGUUGUUAAACAUGGCAAGGGGUGAAGCAUAUUAAACUAACUAUUUAGGCAAGUUUAAAUGAGGCCGGAACAACAAACAACAAUUCUGGAAAAUCCUCAUGUGCAUAUUUUAGAUUUGGUACUGUUCUGCCUAAAACAUAUUUUUAAUGUUGUUAAACAGUAAAACAAAGUGCACCAUUUUUCUACCCCAUUUACAUAUAAAGUUUAUUAAAUUCGAAGCUACGGUUAUUUAGUUAUGAAAUAAAUCAUUUUAACAUGGCAUUUAUACAAGAUUAAACAAACAGCAUUUUAACCAUGGAUGAAAGUUGCAUAUUAUGAAACUAGAUGAAAUUCUGAGCAUUUUACAUAUAUAAAUUAUUUACAUAUGAUGCAUGGUUUAUUAGUUAUUAGAUGCAAGAACACUAGGGGUUUUUCUGUAAACUGCACUCUCUGGAAUAAAUAGCUAAAACGUCCAGAACGAAAAAAAACGAUGCGGGCCGAAUCUGGAGCACUGCUGGGCUGAAUCUGGAACAGAGCAGCGGCUGGGAGGCUCACCAUGGGCUCUUGGCCCGGUCGGCUUGGAGAGGGAGGCUGGAAGGGGGGCGCUGGGCCUGCUUGCUGGUGGCCCACGCGGCCGCUGAAGCUGGGCCAGGGGCGCUGGCUACGGUCAAUGCGGCAGGGGCAAGCGGCGUCCUCUGCACAACAGGGAGCAGAGCCGCGGCGGCACGGCUGCUCGCCGGAGACGAUGGCAGGGAGGCAGAGACGACGGAUCUGGACGGAGGGGGCCGGAUGCAGAUGAAGAAGCUCCAGGCAGAGAAGGUUCCAUGGGGCGGCGGCAUCCUUGUUCGUCCCUAAGAGAGAGAGAGUGAUUGAGAGAGAGAAAAACAGAGGAGGACCGGAGGACAGAGAGGAAGGGUCGGCGACUUGCGGGGCUCCGACGGCGCGGUCAACGGGCAGGAGAGGCGGGGUCGAGGUGCUUGUCCUCCUCUGCACUGCUUCGAUGCAGAGAAACAUGAGGCAGAGGCGAGGCGGGCAUGGCGCGGCGGAGCUUGGGCCCUGGGAUGCUGGCGAGGUGGCCAUCCGGGAACAACGCGGGGAAAAGGGGACACAGGGCUGGAGCAGGGGCACCGGCAGCUUCAUCCCGUCGGGUGCAUCGGCGACCUGGUGGCGUUGCUGCUUGCCGGCGUCGCGCCGGGCGCACGGGACAGGCGCGGGGAGGACGGGGCUCCGCUGGGAUGAGGGAGGAGGCGCACGACUGCUAGUGGCGUUAGUGCUCCUGCGGGCGUUCAUGGCGACGGGCAGAGGAGCUCGGGCUCCUGCAGGAUUUGGGCGGCGGUGGUGAUUGGACAGGUGGGAAAAACGAGGAGAAGGUGGAGGCUGUGGUUGUAUGGAUCGGGAGGGGAUCCCGAUGUGGAGAGGACAAGGGGAGUGGCGGCGCGAUGGAUGGAGUGGAUGGAUGGGACAGGAGGCCUAAAAACUAGGGUUGCCCGCUAUAUAUACCGAGUGGAUUUGAAUAGGGGUCGUUCGGGUCCCUCCGAUCAUAAUCGGACGGCCCGAAAUAAAUAGAUUAGGGAGACCGAAAGAGAAACCAAAAAUGUUAUAUAGACUCUUGGAGAUGAUCCGGACCCAUCGGUAGCGAUAGUCCGGGUCGGGUUCGGGGGCAAGUUUUGGACGCGCGCGAGGGGUGGUCUGAGGGGGUCGACAAAGACAAAGUGUCUAACAAAAGGCCCCGGAGAAGACAAGAGAGAAAACGAGGAGCAACGUUGCAAGUGUGGUUGGUCUCGAAACGGUCAACGAAAGCAAGGGGGGACGCGGCAACUACGAGCGGAUGCAAGUUUUUAAAAACAAUGACGGCAACGAGUGCUGAUGCAAUGCGGAUGAUGCCAUGAUGAAAUGCAACCAACAAAAAUAAAACACACGGCGAACAUGAAAUAUAUGGAAGUCUUCAGAAGCGUCGGUGUCGGGGCGUUACAACACUCCACCACUACAAGAGGAUCUCGUCCCGAGAUCUAGGAUGGCACCGGAGAGAAGCAGAAAAGAAAAAGAAGAGGUAAAUCUAAGUUGCUUCUUGUACAAACAAGUGAAACCACGAACCUUGGAAGUUGAACAAUUUCGAGAAAAUAAUACAACGAAGAUGAACAAAGUUGAAAACACUCCGCUAGAAAAGUGAAACAAGGAACAUUAUGAGAACCUUGUAGGUUGAAAGACAAACAAAAAUGGUUAUGAUGGACAAGAAGUACAUGCAAGCACUCUGGUUGCAACAAGAUGUACAAGGAACGAUAAGGAAAAAUUACGACAACACUCCGGUUGAAAAUGGAAUGGAUAGAAUAUGAACUUGGCAAAAUGAAAGCACUUGGAUGAGACUCCGGUUAAAAGAGGAAUGGUAGACACAACACUCCGGUUAAAUGGAUUAGCAAGGAAAAGAACACGAUCUCCAAAAUGAGAUGAUGGGCGAAUAUAACAACAUCCCAAAGCCUCUGGAAUGAAAGGAUAGAAGCUAGAUUGUUGUAAAUAAAGAAGGGAGAAACAACUGACAGUUUCUAUCACACUUGAAUUUGAAAAGCAUCCUUACAAAGAAGAGUUGAACGGAGUUGUUGGAAAACCAACAACGAAAAGAAUAAGCUUGUAGUGGGCUUAUGGAAAUAUUUCAACAUUAUGAGGUGACAAACGGCCACUAAAGGAAGCCAUUGGUUUGAGUGAGAGCACCAAGGCAAUGAAAAACUUCUUUCACCAAGAGGAUAGGAGAACACUUGGAUCAUUGAUAAGCACCAUAAUAGCAACAUUCCUUAGGAAAGGCUUUAGGUGAAACAUGACACAAGAUAAAAGAAAGAGAAGUUGACAACACAAGGUGAAGCCUUGCAAUGAUUUGGGUGGAGCUUUGAAAUGAUAUCACCGAGAAAACUUGGAACUCCGGAAAGAAAAUGAACAAAUGAGAUCAAGAAUUUUGAUGAAUCUCCGGAAUAAGGAAUUAAUCACUUGGAUGAAACAAGAACAAGAAUUAUGUUAUGCGUAUCCUUCACCAAUUUAGAUUGAUGACAACCACCGGAUUUGGCAUACUACUUAUUCUCAUAGAAAGGAUUGAGAGAGAUAUAGCGUAAGCUUGAGAAGGUCUUCAACGAACCACCAGUAGGAUUGAAACAACGAUUAAAUUGAUAUGAUAACGAAGGAAGAGAAAUCUUGAAGAACCACCGCGAGAAUUGAAAACAAUUGAAGAAAAUAGGACGAAACACCGUAAGAAUUAAAGAACACGCGAAAAUACUUGAGGGAAUUUAGAUACAUGAGAACGAAUAGAUCACGAGCUGACUAGAGGAUACUUGAACGAUGCACCGGGAGAAUAUGGAGAUGAACGAAGAGACAUCAAUUUAGAAUAGUUGGAGAACGAAGCUGAAAACUUAGAACGAAAAAAAUCUUCUGAAAUGAUGGCCUUGGAUGAUCAAGAAAUGAAAACAACUGUGAAAUGCUCCGGAUGGGUAAGAAAAGAGUUGCGCGAUUGGAAACAAUUUGAGAGGAUGGCAACAAGUUAGAACCAUGAAUCUUCAAGAGAACGGACCAAGAUUCAAGAGAAAUUCUUCUUCGUUCUUCAAAUGUUGAGAAUGAUGACGAGAAACACCACCAUGAAUUUUUAGGCACUCCGGAAUGAAAAUUAGAAAGGUUGAACCAACGAUGAAAAGAAUUUGAAAGAUCUUGGAGAAAGACAUAUGACUGAUGAUAACCCAUUCUUACGUCAAACUUUGAAAAUAAUUUUUAGAAGCUCCGGGAAAAUUAGAAGAGUCAGGUAAGAUCCUGGGAAAAGACCUGUGGGUUAGGGCCCACUCAAGAGAAACAACGUUGAACAAUUUAAAAGAGAGAUUGCGCCGGUUGAAUUAAAUGGCUUGAAUGAGAUAACAACCUCGAAAUAGCUUGAACAGAUCUUGAAUGAAAACACGAAUCUCCUGAGAUAUCUUCAACACUUCGGAACACAUGGAAAGCGAAAGGUGAAUGAUUAAGAGGUGCACCGGCAUGAGAAAAACAUUUGAAACAAGGAAAGGAAUGUGACCAACAUUGAAGGCUUGAAUUUAGUCCACCGGAGAAGAAAAAAGAGCGAAGAAUGAUAAAUUUGAAGCUCCGUUAGUAUCGUCCUGAGAAUCACCGGAUAUGAACAUUGACGGAAAAGAAUGGAGAGACUUCGCAUCAAUAAAAUGAUACUUGAUUAAGAAAUCUGAAUCCUUGAAUAAAAGGGUGGGAGGGCGGGAAAAACAAAGACAACUUGGGACGGAUGAAGCAAACACCGUUGCAAAGAACUGAGAAUUGAUCUAGCGAAUGUUGAAAUGAUCGGAUCCACUUGAAAAAGACCACGUCGGUUGGAAAGAAUUGGCAUGACAAUCUCGAUGAUCAAGAAGGAUUGGUAUUCACAUAGAAGUAUGAGAACACCACUUAGGAAGGGUAUGGAAUCAACACUUGACUUCGAAGCAACUCGAAUACCACAAAUUAAAACAAAACAAAGGAUUUGGCUUGCAGAAUAAGCCGGAACAAACAUAUGAUAGAGAUUUCGUCCGAAGUUUUCGUGGUGGGACCCACACGGGCUCGAUCGUACAACACCAUCAUGUACAAGGCAGUGCACAUGGCAUACGAAGCGUCCCCGAGUCGGCAUAGCCAAGGACUCUUUAAGACACUACGAGACCACUGUAAAACCAACCAUGGAAAGCCGGACCACUAGACGUCGAACCCCAAUCUCAUAUCAUGCAUCUGUCGGAAAGAUAUCCUAGGAGCUACUUGAAUUCCCACUUAUAAACUCCCGAAACUUUCUGGUUUUUCCAUCUGUUGUUGGGGAUACAGGGGACGCAAUAUAUCUCACCCAAACUAAAAUACCUAGAUCCAGCUGUAUCCAUCCUUCAACACAUAACCAAGAAAACUCCGGAAAUCAUUUACCUCAACCUUCGAAAAGCAUCCGUUAUACGAGUUAUGUCAAUACUCCCGAACUCCCGCCCCAGUACUGGGUGGCGUCGAGGUGAUCUCACCAACAACUGCAUAAAAGAGAUUUUCGAUGUCGGCGAAACUCAGGUAUUCCAGAACUGCAACGAUAAAAUUGUGACGACAACACCUCGGAGCUCAACUCCCCGGGACACUGCCACAACCCCUAAAUGUCAGGAGGCACCAAGAACAAUGUUCUUGUCACAAAACCAUCGGAACGAUUCCAAGAUACCCGCAUGAUCCUAAUUUUUUUUAGUGAAAUUUGAGGAGAGGAAAGGCAAAACAUCUACGUCAGGAGACCUCACCAGAGCGAUGAAGGGACUGUGGAGUAAAAAGAAUCCUACUCUCCGAUAUAUAUAAUCCUAAGACUCAAAACAAUUUUUGUUCUAGACUCAACAACAUCAGCGAUUCGAUCAAGCAGGGGGCUCCUAAGUCGGGGAUGGCUCUGAUUACCAACUUGUAACGCACACGAUGCGGCUAUAUCUCCCACGUGUCAAGGCACGACUUAGAGGCAUAACCGCAUUGUGGUUUUGUCGCAAGAAGGGUCAUCUUCACACAAUCCCAUGUAAUGAACAAGAAUGGGAUAAAGAGUUGGCUUACAAUCGCCACUUCACACAAUACAUAAAUAAAUCAUACAUCAAUCAGAGUACACACAUAGACCGACUACGGUCAAAUCCAGAUAAAAAGAAGAUAACCCCAAAUGGUAGAUCCCCGAUCGUCCCCAACUGGGCACCACUACUGAUCAACAUGAAAAGAAACAUAGUAACGACCAGGGUCUUCAUCGAACUUCCACCUGAGCUCGGUUGCAUCACCUGCACUGGUAUCGUCGGCACCUGCAACUGUUUUGGAAGUAUCUGUGAGUCACGAGGACUCAGCAAUCUCACACCCGCGAGAUCAAGACUAUUUAAGCUUAUUGGAAGGAUGGGGUGAUGAGGUGGAGCUGCAGCAAGCACUAAGCAUAUAUGGUGGCUAACAUACGCAAAUAAGAGCGAGAAAAGAAGCAACGGAACGGUCGUGAAGCUAGAAGUGAUCCUGAAACUACUUAUGCACAACCAUAACACAAGAACCGUGUUCACUUCCCGGACUCCGCCGAGAAGAGACCAUCACGGCUACACACGCGGUUGAUGUAUUUUUAAUUAAUUCAAGUGUCAAGUUCUCUAUAACCGGACAUUAACAAACUCCCAUCUGCCACAUAACCGCGGGCACGGCUUUCGAAAGAUAAUACCCUGCAGGGGUGUCCCAACUUAGCCCAUUAUAAGCUCUCGCGGUCAACAAAGGAUAUUCCUUCUCCCAGGAAGACCCGAUCAGUCUCGGAAUCCCAGUUUACAAGACAUUUCGACAAUGGUAAAACAAGACCAGCAAAGCCGCCCGAUGUGUCGACAAUCCCGAUAGGAGUCGCACGUACCUCGUUCUCAGGACACACCGGAUGAACACUACGUACAACUAAAACCAGCCCUCAAGUUUCCCCGAGGUGGCGCUGCAAGUGGCUCUAGUUUGGACCAACACUCCGAGGAGCACUGGCCCGGGGGGGGGGGGUAAAAUAAGAUGACCCUUGAGUCUGCUGAACCCAAGGGAAAAAGGCUUAGGUAGGCAAAUGGUAAAACCAAGGUUGGGCCUUGCUGGAGGAGUUUUAUUCAAAGCGAACUGUCAAGGGGGUCCCAUAAAUCACCCAACCGUGUAAGGAACGCAAAAUCAAGGAACAUAACACCGGUAUGACGGAAACUAGGGCGGCAAGAGUGGAACAAAACACCAGGCAUAAGGCCGAGCCUUCCACCCUUUACCAAGUAUAUAGAUGCAUUAAUUAAAUAAGAGAUAUUGUGAUAUCCCAACAAAACAUAAUCCAACAUGGAGCAAUCUUCAUCUCCACCUGCAACUAGCAACGCUAUAAGAGGGGCUGAGCAAACGCGGUAACAUAGCCAAACAACGGUUUGCUGGGAAGGGUGACAAAGGUUAGAGGUUCGUGGCAAUUUGGGAGGCUUGAUAAGCAAGUGGUAGGUAACGCGGCAUAGCAAUAGAAUGGACAACUAGCAAGCAAAGAUAGAAGUGAUUUCGAGGGUAUGGUCAUCUUGCGUGAAAUCCCGCUAGGAAGAAGAACGGGUCGAUGAAGAAGACAAACGGACGUAGUCGAACGAAUCCUCACAACUCCGGAAUGAAACCGAAGCUAACGAGAGAAGCAACCCGGAAAGAAACAAACAACAUAGUAAACAACCAUCACACUAACAUGGCAUGAUGCACAAACAAGUAUGAUGCAUGUCCGGUUUAAAUAUGCAUGGCAUGGCAAAGUGCACAAACAAUACUACAAAUUAAGUGAAGCUCAAUAUGCAACAAGUUGCAUAUUGAAGAAACACCACAUCAAUUAUUUAGUUUUCUCUCGUUUAUGUACCCAACAAUAUUAAGUGUUGUUAAACAUGGCAAGGGGUGAAGCAUAAGUAAACUAACUAUUUAGGCAAGUUUAAAUGAGGCCGGAACAACAAACAACAAUUCCGGAAAAUCCUCAUGUGCAUAUUUUAGAUUUGGUACUGUUCUGCCUAAAACAUAUUUUUAAUGUUGUUAAACAGUAAAACAAAGUGCACCAUGUUAAUCUAUGCAUUUUUCUACCCCAUUUACAUAUAAAGUUUAUUAAAUUCGGAGCUACGGUUAUUUAGUUAUGAAAUAAAUCAUUUUAACAUGGCAUUUAUACAAGAUUAAACAAACAGCAUUUUAAACAUUUUAAACAUGGAUGAAAGUUGCAUAUUAUGAAACUAGAUGAAAUUCUGAGCAUUUUACAUAUAUAAAUUAUUUACAUAUGAUGCAUGGUUUAUUAGUUAUUAGAUGCAAGAACACUAGGGUUUUUUUUUGUAAAACUGCACUCUCUGGAAUAAAUAGCUAAAACGUCCAGAACAAAAAAAAACGAUGCGGGCCGAAUCUGGAGCACUGCUGGGCUGAAUCUGGAACAGGGCAGCGGCUGGGAGGCUCACCAUGGGCUCUUGGCCCGGUCGGCUUGGAGAGGGAGGCUGGAAGGGGGGCGCUGGGCCUGCUUGCUGGUGGCCCACGCGGCCGCUGAAGCUGGGCCAGGGGCGCUGGCUACGGUCAACGUGGCAGGGACAAGCGGCGUCCUCUGCACGACAGGGAGCAGAGCCGCGGCGACACGGCUGCUCGCCGGAGACGAUGGCAGGGAGGCGGAGACGGCGGAUCUGGACGGAGGGGGCCGGAUGCAGAUGAAGAAGCUCCAGGCAGAGAAGGUUCCAUGGGGCGGCGCCAUCCUUGUUCGUCCCUAAGAGAGAGAGAGAGCGAUUGAGAGAGAGAAAAAUAGAGGAGGACCGAAGGACAGAGAGGAAGGGUCGGCGACCUGCGGGGCUCCGGCGGCGCGGUCAACGGGCAGGAGAGGCGGGGUCGAGGUGCUUGUCCUUCUCUGCACUACUUCGAUGCAGAAAAACAGGAGGCAGAGGUGAGACGGGCAUGGCGUGGCGGAGCUCGGGCCCUGGGAUGCUGGCGAGGUGGCCAUCCGGGAACAACGCGGGGAAAAGGGGACGCAGGGCUGGAGCAGGGGCACCGGCAGCUUCAUCCCGUCGGGUGCAUCGGCGACUUGGUGGCGUUGCUGCUUGCCGGCGUCGCGCCGGGCGCACGGGACAGGCGCGGGGAGGACGGGGCUCCGCUGGGAUGAGGGAGGAGGCGCACGGCUGCUGGUGGCGUUGGUGCUCCUGCGGGCGUUCAUGGCGACGGGCAGAGGAGCUCGGGCUCCUGCAGGAUUUGGGCGGCGGUGGUGAUUGGACAGGAGGGGAAAACGAGGAGAAGGUGGAGGUUGUGGUUGGAUGGAUCGGGAGGGGAUCCCGAUGUGGAGAGGACAAGGGGGGUGGCGGCGCGAUGGAUGGAAUGGAUGGAUGGGACAGGAGGCCUAAAAACUAGGGUUGCCCGCUAUAUAUACCGAGUGGAUUUGAAUAGGGGUCGUUCGGGUCCCUCCGAUCAUAAUCGGACGGCCCGAAAUAAAUAGAUUAGGGAGACCGAAAGAGAAACUGAAAAUGUUUUUGUAACGCCCACGAUGCGGCUAUAUCUCCCACGUGUCGAGGCACGACUUAGAGGCAUAACCGCAUCGUGGUUUGUCACAAGAAGGGUCAUCUUCACACAAUCCCAUGUAAUGAACAAGAAUGGGAUAAAGAGUUGGCUUACAAUCGCCACUUCACACAAUACAUAAAUAAAAUCAUACAUCAUUCAAGAUACACACAUAGGUCCGACUACGGAACCAAAAUAAAAGAAGACAACCCAACUGCUAGAUCCCCGAUCGUCCCAACUGGGCACCACUACUGAUCAAUAUGAAAAGAAACAACACAUCGAACAAGAUCUUCAUCGAGCUCCCACUUGAGCUCAGUUGCGUCACCUGCACUGGUCUCAUCGGCACCUACAACUAUUUGGAAGUAUCUGUGAGUCACGAGGACUCAGCAAUCUCACACCCGCGAGAUCAAGACUAUUCAGGCUUAAGGGUAGGAAAGGGGAAGGUGGUGAGGUUGCAGCAGCGACUAAGCAUAUAUGGUGGCUAACAUACGCAAAUAAGAGCGAGAAGAGGAGCAACGGAACGGUCGUCAACUAGUAAUGAUCAAGAAGUGAUCUUGAACUCCUACUUACGUCAAACAUAACCCAGAAACCGUGUUCACUUCCCGGACUCCGCCGAGAAGAGACCAUCACGGCUACACACGCGGUUGAUGCUUUUUAAUUAAGUCGAGUGUCAAGUUCUCUACAACCGGAUAUUAACAAAUUCCCAUCUGCCACAUAACCGUGGGCACGGCUUUCGAAAGAUAAUACCCUGCAGGGGUGUCCCAACUUAGCCCAUUAUAAGCUCUCACGGUCAACGAAGGAUAAACCUUCUCCCAGGAAGACCCGAUCAGUCUCGGAAUCCCAGUUUACAAGACAUUUCGACAAUGGUAAAACAAGACCAGCAAAGCCGCCCGGAUGUGCCGACAAAUCCCGAUAGGAGCUGCACAUAUCUCGUUCUCAGGGCACACCGGAUGAGCAAGACGUCGGGUUGGCAUAGACCCUGGUUGCCCAGGGGGCGCCGGACAUCGCUCGGUUUGGACCAGCACUCGAAGGAGAACUGGCCCGGGGGUAAAUAAAGAUGACCCUUGAGUCUGCAGAACCCAAGGGAAAAAGGCUUAGGUAGGCAAAUGGUAAAACCAAGGUUGGGCCUUGCUGGAGGAGUUUUAUUCAAGGCGAACUGUCAAGGGGGUCCCAUAAAUCACCCAACCGCGUAAGGAACGCAAAAUCAAGGAACAUAACACCGGUAUGACGGAAACUAGGGCGGCAAGAGUGGAACAAAACACCAGACAUAAGGCCGAGCCUUCCACCCAUUACCAAGUAUAUAGAUGCAUUAAUUAAAUAAGAGGUAUUGUGAUACCCCAACAAAGUUCAUAAUAUCCAUGUUCCAACAAGGAACAAACUCCAUCUUCACCUGCAACUAACAACGCUAUAAGAGGGGCUGAGCAAACGCGGUAACAUAGCCAAACAACGGUUUGCUAGGAAGGGUGAGAAAUGUUAGAGGUUCAUGGCAAUUUGGGAGGCUUGAAAAGCAAGUGGUAGGUAGCGUGGCAUAGCAAUAGAGCGAACAGCUAGCAAGCAAAGAUAGAAGUGAUUUCGAGGGUAUGGUCAUCUUGCCUGAGAUCCCGCAAGGAAGAAGAACGAGUCCACGAAGUAGACAAGCGGACGUAGUUGAAUGAAUCCUCACAACUCCGGAACGAAACCGAAGCUAACGAGAGAAGCAAACCGGAAAGAAGCAAACAACAUAGUAAACAACCACCACAUAAACAUGGCAUGAAGCACAAUCAAGUAUGAUGCAUGUCCGGUUUAAUGAGGCAUGGCAUGGCAAAGCGCACAAACAAAACUACAAGUUAAGUGGAGCUCAAUAUGCAACGAGUUGCAUAUUGACGAAACACCACAUUUAAUUAUUUAGUUCUCUCUCGUUUAUGGACCCAACAAUGUUAAAUGUUAUUAACCAUGGCAAGAGGUGAAGCAUAUGGAAACUACCUAUUUUAGGCAAUUUAAAUGAGGCCGGAACAACAAACAACAAUUCCGGAAAACCUCAUAUGCAUAUUUUGAAUUUGGUACUGUUCUGCCAUAAACGCAAUUUUAAUGUUGUUAAACAGCAAAAUGAAGUGCACCAUGUUAAACUAGGCAUUUUUCUACCCCAUUUACAUAUAAAGUUUAUUAAAAUCCGAGUUACGGUUAUCUAGUUAUGAAAUAAAUCAUUUUAACAUAUUAUCCGAGCAAAUUUAAUCAAACAACAUUUUAAACAAUUUUAACAUGGGUGAAAGUGGCAUAUUAUUAAACUACACAAAAUUCUAAGCAUUUUACAUAUUUAGUUUGUUUUAAUCCGAUGCACGGUUCGUGAGUUAUUAUAUGCAUGAAGUUCAAGGGUUUUUCUGCAAAUCUGUAAAUCCUGGGAAAAUAGUUAAAAUCGUAGAACCUAAAAAAACCUAUGCGGGCCGAAUCUGCUGCAUGUUGGGCCAACAGAGAGGAGCUGUGGGGAGCUUACCCAUGGGCCAAGGCCCAGUCUGUGGAGGAGGAGGCCGCUAAGCCUGGCGCAGGUGUGACCCAGCCGACGCUCGCGGUCAACGGGCGGGCGAGCGAGCAGCAGAGGAGGCCGAGGCGCCAUGGCAGGGGAACGACGACAGCGGGACUGGAACGAGCACGAGGACGACGCCCACGAGCUCCACGCCACGGCGAAGGGCGGAACUGGACGGACUCGAGGGCAGGGAGGCGGCUUGGCGACGCGGGACUUGGCGAGGCGGAGGGCGCGGGAACACCGGUUCCAUCCGGGAACGAGGCGGGGCGAGCUGGGCGGCCCUGGGAGUUGGUGGAGCGGCGGGGACCCGAGCCAAUCCGGCCGGAGUCGAGGCGAAGGUGCGGCGGGGUUUGAGCCGGAGCAUCCAUGGCGGCCGUUGGCGACGGGAACCUGCGGGAGCUCUGUUUCAACGAGACAGAGAGAGAGAGAGUGAGUGAAACACGAGAGAGAGAGAUGGUGAAGAAAGGGAAGGAGAGCAGGAGAGAGUGCGAGGGAGUCUGUCCUGGUCCUGGUCGGUGCUGCUUCCGAUCCAUCCUGGAUCGAGGCACGGGAGGAGGGAACGAGGCGCAGAUGGCAUCGGGCUCCAGAUCGAUGCGAGGAAGGGCGGCCUUGGAGGAAGAAGGUUGCGAGGAGGCGAGGGCAUCUCCUCGAGGAGAAAGAAGAAGCAGGGCGCGGCGGUGGUCCUGGAGGUCGCCGUCGAGCCGACUGGCCGCGCGAGAAGACGAGGCCGAGCGCUCCUGCUUGGGCCUUGGGAAGAGAGGGGGUGGCGGCUGCUGCACAAAGGCUCGGCGAGGGGUGGAUCGGGAAGGAGGCUGGUUGGGUCGAUGUGGAAAUCGAGGAGGAUUUUUGAGAGGGUGGCGGCGGCUGAUCCGGGGAGGGGAAGGGUGUAGGUGGCGGCGGUAGGGGGGACAAAUGUCCUAGGAUUUAGGGUUUGGUCUAAAAAUGGACACGGAGGUCUAUAUAUAUAACAAGUGAAUUUUUGAUAGGGGCAUUUGGUCCCUCCGAUUAAAAUCGGACGAUCGAGAAAAAUAAGUUAGGAGAGUCCAACAAAGAAAACGGUGAUGUUUUGUAAAUGUUAGGGGAUGAUCCGGGCCCAACGGUCACAACGGUCCGGGUCGGGUUCGGGGAAGUUUUCGGACGCACGCCAGAGGGGGUGGUGGUUGUGCAGAGAGGGACAAACGGUCAGACAAGAGAGAAUCGAAAAAAACCGGUUAGACUCAGAACGGUCAACGAACGCAACAGAGAGAAGCGAGGAGCGGCAACUACGAGCGGAUGCAAGUUUUAAAAACAACGACGGCAACGAGGUGCCGACGCAAUGCGGAUGAUGCGAUGAUGAAUGCAACAAACAAAUAAAUACACACAACGAUAACGAAAAAGAUGGAAGGCGUCUGGAGCAUCGGUCUCGGGGCGUUACAACACUCCACCACUACGAGAGGAUCUCGUCCCGAGAUCUAGGAUGGCACCGGAGAAAAACGGAAGAGGAAGAGAAAAGGUAAAGCUAAGUUGCUUCUUUGAAAAACGAGUGAAACCAAAGAACUUUGAGAGGUCGCAAAGCUUGAAGAAAUGACACGACAGAGGUGAACAAAAUUGAGAAGACUUCGGUAGAAAAGAGAGACAAGGAACACCAUGAGAACCUUGAGGUUAAGUGACACAAUAGAUAUUUAAACCACUCCGGUUAAAACAAGAUAGAGAGGGAAUAAGAAUGAUAUAAUUUAGGCAGCACUCCGACUGUAAAUGGAAGGAAUUGAACAUGAUCUUGACAAGAUGAGAGGAUACUCGAUGAAAUUACCAACACAUUGCCUCCGGUACUAAUGAAAGAAUGACACAAGGGGUAAGAAAGAUUUCAGACAGCACUCCGGUUGAGGAAGGAGACAAAACUUGAUAAGAUGAGAGAACUCGAAUGAAAACACGACACUCCGGCUAAACGGAUAAGAAAGGAAAAAUUACAUGAUCUUGACAAAACAAGAUGAUUGGUCGAAGAGAGCAACAUCACAAAGCCUCCGGAAACAAUGCAUGGUAGUUAGAUAGUUGGAGUGAAUAGAACGAAGAAUGAAACCAACAUCUCCUACCAUAAAUUAAUUUUAAAGAGCCUCCUUACGAAGUAGGAUUGAACGGAGUUGUUGGAAAACCAACAACGAAAAGAACAAGCUUGUUGUGGGCUUAUGGAACACAUCUCAAAAUUAUGAGGUGACAACCCGCCACUACCAGAAACAAUUGCUUGCUUGAGAUCAACGAAGAGAUGAAAACUUCUCUCGCCGAGAGGAUAGGAGAAAACUUGGAUCAUUGAUAAACACCACAAAUAGCUACAUUCCUUAGGGAAGGCUAUAGGUGAAAUAUAACCCAAUACAACUCCACCAAAAAGAUUGAUUGGACGAAAAGAUCUCUUGAACGAAGAGAAAAUGAUGGAUUUAAUUAUCUCAUUCCUGACAACUUGUGAAUCAUGCAACAUGAAGGAAAUAGUCAAGAAUGACAUAACACCACCUCAAAAGAUAAGAGAGAAAGAAUUGCACUUCGGAAUGCAAGAUGGAGAAUGCUUGAACUCCUCAAAACAAACAUGUGUUGAGCACCAUGUUUAUUUUUGAGUAUAGCUUGGCGGAUCAUAACUUCAAGAGAAAUCUUGAAGAACAAUUGAAAAAUGAAAAGAAUCCUUGACGAACCACCAUGUAGAGCCUCCAUGAAGAACUCCGGUAAUAAAAGAAUGAUCAAACGAAAGGGAAAGUUGAAAAGAACUCCGGGAGAAGCCUUGCAAUGAUUUAGAUGGAGCUUUGAAAUGAUAUAAUUGAAAUAACUUGAAGCUCCGGAAAGAAAAGAUGAACAACUGAGAUCAAGCAUUUGAUAUCAUGAACGAACUCCGGAAGAAGGAAUUAAUCACUUGGAGGAAAUAAGAAUAAGAAUUACAUUAUGCUUAGCCUUCACCAAUUUAGAUUAAUGACAAGCAAUGGAUUUGUCAUACUACUUAUUCUCGUAGAAAGGAUUAAGAGAGAUAUAACACAAACUUGAGAAGGUCUUCAUCGAACCACCGGUGGAUUUGGAAACAACGAAUGAAUUGAUAUGAUAACGAGGGAAGAGAAAUCUUGAACGAAACCACCGUAAGAAUUGAAAAUGAAUGAAGAAAAGAGAACGAAUCACCGUAAGAAUUAAAGAGCGCGCGAAAAUACUCGAGUGAAUUUGAUACAUGAGAACGAAUAGAUCACGAGCUGACUAGAGGAUACUUGAACGAUGCACCGGGAGAAUAUGGAGAUGAACGAAGAGACAUCAAUUUAGAAUAAUUGGAGAACGAAGCUGAAAACUUAGAACGAAGAAAUCUUCUGAAAUGAUGGCCUUUGGAUGAUCAAGAAAUGAAAACAACUCUGAAAUGCUCUGGAUGGGUAUGAAAAGAAUUGCGCGAUUGGAAACAAUUUGAGAGGAUGGCAACAAGUUAGAACCAUGAAUCUUCAAGAGAACGGACCAAGAUUUAGGAGAAAUUCUUCUUCGGUCUUCAAAUGUUGAGAAUGACGAUGAGAAACACCAUCAAGAAUUAUUGAGGCACUCCGGAACCGUGAAGAAUAGAAAGGUUGAAUCAACAAUGAAAAGAAUUUGAAAGAUCUUGGAGAAAGACAUUUGACUGAUGAUAAUUCAUUCUUACGUCAAACUUUGCAAUGAAUUUGAGAAUAACUCCGGAAAAAUUAGAUGAGUCAGGUAAGAUCCUGGAAAAAGACCUGAGGGGUAGGGCCCACUCAAAAGAAACACCGUUGAAUGAUUAAAAGAAAGAUUGCGCCGGUUGAAUUAAAUAGCUUGAAUGAGAUAACAACCUCAAAAUAGUUAGAAUUGAUGCAGAGUGGAAACACGAAUCUUCCGAGAUAUUUUCAGCACUCCGGAACAAUUGAAUAGCAAGCGGGGAAUGAUUAAGAGAUAUACCGACAUGAGAAAGCAUUUGAAACAAGGAAAGGAAUGACCAACAUUGAAGGCUUGAAUUUAGUCCACCGGAGAAGAAAAAGAAUGAAGAAUGAAAAACUUGAAGAAUAUCUUCAUGAGAACCACCGGGUAAGAACAUUGAUUGAAAAGAAUGAAGGGACUUCACGUGAAUAAAAUGGAUACUUGGUUAAGUCAUCUGAGUCCUUGAAGAAAGAGGGUGGGAGGGCGGGAAAACAAAGGCAACUUGGGGCAGAUGAAACAAACAACGUUGAGAAAACUUAUUAUUGAUCUUCCGAAUGGGGAGAAUGAUGGGAUCAUCUCGAAGAGAAACGCACUGGUUGGAAAUAGAAUUAAGAUGGCAAACUCGAUGAUCAAGAAGGAUUAGUAUCCACAUAGGAAUAUGAGAACACCGCUUAGAAUAAGGUAUGGGAUCAACAUUUGACUUCGAAGCAACUCAAAUACCACAAAUAAAACAAAACAAAGGAUUGGCUUGCGGAAUAAGCCGGAACAAACAUAUGAUAGAGAUUUCGUCCGAAGUUUUCGUGGUGGGGCCCACACGGGCUCGAUCGUACAGCACCAUCAUGUACAAGGCUGUGCACAUGACAUACGAAGCGUCCCCGAGUUGGCAUAGCCAAGGACUCUUUAAGACACUACGAGACCACUGUAAAACCAACCGUGGAAAGGCGGACCACUAGACGUCGAACCCCAAUCUCAUAUCAUGCAUCUGUCGGAAAGAUAUCCUAAGAGCUACUUGAAUUCCCACUUAUAAACUCCCGAAACUUUCUGGUUAUGCAAUCUGGUGUUGGGGAUACAGGGGACACAAAAUAUAUCACCCAGACUAACAAUACCUAGAUCCAGCUGUAUCCAUCCGUCAACACAUAACCAAGAAACCUUCGAAAAUCGUGUACCUCAACCUUCGAAAAGCAUCCGUUAUACGAGUUAUGGCAAUACUCCCGAACUCCCGCCCCAGUACUGGGUGGCGUCGAGGUGAUCUCACCAACAACUGCAUAAAAGAGAUUUUCGAUGUCGGCGAAACUCAGGUAUUCCAGAACUGCAACGAUAAAAUUGUGACGACAACACCUCGGAGCUCAACUCCCCGGGACACUGCCACAACCCCUAAAUGUCAGGAGGCACCAAGAACAAUGUUCUCGUCACAAAACCAUCGGAACGAUUCAAAGAUACCCGCGUGAUCCUAAAUUUUUUUUAGUGAAAUUUGAGGAGAGAAAAGUCAAAACUUCUACGUCAGGAGGCCUCACCAGAGCGACGAAGGGACUGAGGAAUAAAAAGAAUCCUACUCUCCGAUAUAUAUAAUCCUAAGACUCAAAACAUUUUUGUUCUAGACUCAACAACGUCAGCGAUUCGAUCAAGCAGGGGGCUCCUAAGUCGGGGAUGGCUCUGAUUACCAACUUGUAACGCCCACGAUGUGGCUAUAUCUCCCACGUGUCGAGGCACGACUUAGAGGCAUAACCGCAUUGUGGUUUGUCGCAAGAAGGGUCAUCUUCACACAAUCCCAUGUAAUGAACAAGAAUGGGAUAAAGAGUUGGCUUACAAUCGCCACUUCACACAAUACAUAAAUAAAAUCAUACAUCAUUCAAGAUACACACAUAGGUCCGACUACGGAACCAAAAUAAAAGAAGACAACCCAACUGCUAGAUCCCCGAUCGUCCCAACUGGGCACCACUACUGAUCAAUAUGAAAAGAAACAACACAUCGAACAAGAUCUUCAUCGAGCUCCCACUUGAGCUCAGUUGCGUCACCUGCACUGGUCUCAUCGGCACCUGCAACUGUUUGGAAGUAUCUGUGAGUCACGAGGACUCAGCAAUCUCACACCCGCGAGAUCAAGACCAUUCAAGCUUAAGGGUAGGAAAGGGGAAGGUGGUAAGGUUGCAGCAGCGACUAAGCAUAUAUGGUGGCUAACAUACGCAAAUAAGAGCGAGAAGAGGAGCAACGGAACGGUCGUCAACUAGUAAUGAUCAAGAAGUGAUCGUGAACUCCUACUUACGUCAAACAUAACCCAGAAACCGUGUUCACUUCCCGGACUCCGCCGAGAAGAGACCAUCACGGCUACACACGCGGUUGAUGCUUUUUAAUUAAGUCAAGUGUCAAGUUCUCUACAACCGGAUAUUAACAAAUUCCCAUCUGCCACAUAACCGUGGGCACGGCUUUCGAAAGAUAAUACCCUGCAGGGGUGUCCCAACUUAGCCCAUUAUAAGCUUUCACGGUCAACGAAGGAUAAACCUUCUCCCAGGAAGACCCGAUCAGUCUCGGAAUCCCGGUUUACAAGACAUUUCGACAAUGGUAAAACAAGACCAGCAAAGCCGCCCGGAUGUGCCGACAAAUCCCGAUAGGAGCUGCACAUAUCUCGUUCUCAGGGCACACCGGAUGAGCAAGAUGUCGGGUUGGCAUAGACCCUGGUUGCCCAGGGGGCGCCGGACAUCGCUCGGUUUGGACCAGCACUCGAAGGAGAACUGGCCCGGGGGUAAAUAAAGAUGACCCUUGAGUCUGCAGAACCCAAGGGAAAAAGGCUUAGGUAGGCAAAUGGUAAAACCAAGGUUGGGCCUUGCUGGAGGAGUUUUAUUCAAGGCGAACUGUCAAGGGGGUCCCAUAAAUCACCCAACCGCGUAAGGAACGCAAAAUCAAGGAACAUAACACCGGUAUGACGGAAACUAGGGCGGCAAGAGUGGAACAAAACACCAGACAUGAGGCCGAGCCUUCCACCCUUUACCAAGUAUAUAGAUGCAUUAAUUAAAUAAGAGGUAUUGUGAUAUCCCAACAGAGUUCAUAAUAUCCAUGUUCCAACAAGGAACAAACUCCAUCUUCACCUGCAACUAACAACUCUAUAAGAGGGGCUGAGCAAACGCGGUAACAUAGCCAAACAACGGUUUGCUAGGAAGGGUGACAAAUGUUAGAGGUUCAUGGCAAUUUGGGAGGCUUGAAAAGCAAGUGGUAGGUAGCGUGGCAUAGCAAUAGAGCGAACAGCUAGCAAGCAAAGAUAGAAGUGAUUUCGAGGGUAUGGUCAUCUUGCCUGAGAUCCUGCAAGGAAGAAGAACGAGUCCACGAAGUAGACAAGCGGACGUAGUUGAACGAAUCCUCACAACUCCGGAACGAAACCGAAGCUAACGAGAGAAGCAAACCGGAAAGAAGCAAACAACAUAGUAAACCACCACCACAUAAACAUGGCAUGAAGCACAAUCAAGUAUGAUGCAUGUCCGGUUUAAUGAGGCAUGGCAUGGCAAAGCGCACAAACAAAACUACAAGUUAAGUGGAGCUCAAUAUGCAACGAGUUGCAUAUUGACGAAACACCACAUUUAAUUAUUUAGUUCUCUCUCGUUUAUGGACCCAACAAUGUUAAAUGUUAUUAACCAUGGCAAGAGGUGAAGCAUAUGGAAACUACCUAUUUUAGGCAAUUUAAAUGAGGCCGGAACAACAAACAACAAUUCCGGAAAACCUCAUAUGCAUAUUUUGAAUUUGGUACUGUUCUGCCAUAAACGCAAUUUUAAUGUUGUUAAACAGCAACAUGAAGUGCACCAUGUUAAACUAGGCAUUUUUCUACCCCAUUUACAUAUAAAUUUUAUUAAAAUCCGAGUUACGGUUAUCUAGUUAUGAAAUAAAUCAUUUUAACAUAUUAUCCGAGCAAAUUUAAUCAAACAACAUUUUAAACAAUUUUAACAUGGGUGAAAGUGGCAUAUUAUUAAACUACACAAAAUUCUAAGCAUUUUACAUAUUUAGUUUGUUUUAAUCCGAUGCACGGUUCGUGAGUUAUUAUAUGCAUGAAGUUCAAGGGUUUUUCUGCAAAUCUGUAAAUCCUGGGAAAAUAGUUAAAAUCGCAGAACCUAAAAAAUACCUAUGCGGGCCGAAUCUGCUGCAUGUUGGGCCAACAGAGAUGAGCUGUGGGGAGCUCACCCAUGGGCCAAGGCCCAGUCUGUGGAGGAGGAGGCCGCUGGGCCUGGCGCAGGUGUGACCCAGCCGACGCUCGUGGUCAACGGGCGGGCGAGCGAGCAGCAGAGGAGGCCGAGGCGCCAUGGCAGGGGAACGGCAGCAGCGGGACUGGAACGAGCACGAGGACGACGCCCACGAGCUCCACGCCACGGCGGAGGGCGGAACUGGACGGACUCGAGGGCAGGGAGGCGGCUUGGCGACGCGGGACUUGGCGAGGCGGAGGGCGCGGGAACACCGGUUCCAUCCGGGAACGAGGCGGGGCGAGCUGGGCGGCCCUGGGAGUUGGUGGAGCGGCGGGGACCCGAGCCGAUCCGGCCGGAGUUGAGGCGAAGGUGCGGCGGGGUUGAGCCGGAGCAUCCAUGGCGGCCGUUGGCGACGGGAACCUGCGGGAGCUCUGUUUCAACGAGACAGAGAGAGAGAGAGUGAAACACGGGAGAGAGAUGGUGAAGAAAGGGAAGGAGAGCAGGAGAGAGGGCGAGGGAGUCUGUCCUGGUCCUGGUCUGUGCUGCUUCCGAUCCAUCCUGGAUCGAGGCACGGGAGGAGGGAACGAGGCGCAGAGGGCAUCGGGCUCCAGAUCGAUGCGAGGAAGGGCGGCCUUGGAGGAAGAAGGUUGCGAGGAGGCGAGGGCAUCUCCUCGAGGAGAAAGAAGAAGCAGGGCGCGGCGGUGGUCCUGGAGGUCGCCGUUGAGCCGGCUGGCCGCGCGAGAAGACGAGGCCGAGCGCUCCUGCUCGGGCCUUGGGAAGAGAGGGGGUGGCGGCUGCUGCACAAAGGCUCGGCGAGGGGUGGAUCGGGAAGGAGGCUGGUUGGGUCGAUGUGGAAAUCGAGGAGGAUUUUUGAGAGGGUGGCGGCGGCUGAUCCGGGGAGGGGAAGGGUGUAGGUGGCGGCGGUAGGGGGCACAAAUGUCCUAGGAUUUAGGGUUUGGUCUAAAAAUGGACACGGAGGUCUAUAUAUAUAACAAGUGAAUUUUUGAUAGGGGCAUUUGGUCCCUCCGAUUAAAAUCGGACGAUCGAGAAAAAUAAGUUAGGAGAGUCCAACAAAGAAAACGGUGAUGUUUUGUAAAUGUUAGGGGAUGAUCCGGGCCCAACGGUCACAACGGUCCGGGUCGGGUUCGGGGAAGUUUUCGGACGCACGCCAGAGGGGGUGGUUGUUGUGCAGAGAGGGACAAACGGUCAGACAAGAGAGAAUCGAAAAAAACCGGUUAGACUCAGAACGGUCAACGAACGCAACAGAGAGAAGCGAGGAGUGGCAACUACGAGCGGAUGCAAGUUUUAAAAACAACGACGACAACGAGGUGCCGACGCAAUGCGGAUGAUGCGAUGAUGAAUGCAACAAACAAAUAAAUACACACAACGAUAACGAAAAAGAUGGAAGGCGUCUGGAGCAUCGGUCUCGGGGCAUUACAGUUUUAUAGACUCUUGGAGAUGAUCCGGACCCAUCGGUAGCGAUAGUCCGGGUCGGGUUCGGGGGCAAGUUUCGGACGCGCGCGAGGGGUGGUCUGAGAGGGGUCGACAAAGACAAAGUGUCUGACAAAAGGCCCCGGAGAAGAUAAGAGAGAAAACGAGGAGCAACGUUGCAAGUGUGGUUGGUCUCGAAACGGUCAACGAAAGCAAGGGGGAUGCGGCAACUACGAGUUGAUGCAAGUUUUAAAAACAAUGACGGCAACGAGUGCCGAUGCAAUGCGGAUGAUGCCAUGAUGAAAUGCAACCAACAAAAAUAAAACACACGGCGAACACGAAAUAUAUGAAAGUCUUCUGAAGCGUCGGUCUCGGGGCGUUACAUAAAGGAAGAGCCCUUCUUUAAUACUGCGUUCAUCAAAUCACCUUCGGGAAAAUACUUGGCUCUUAGGAUUGUUGCACAUAAUGAUUCAGGAUUAUCCACGAGACGCCAUGCUUGCUUCGCAAAUAAAGCCAGAUUAAAGCAGUGUAUAUCACGGAAACCCAUUCCUCCUUGUUCUUUUGGAACACAUCUUCCACCAUGCCAUCCAGUGCAUCCUUUUCUGAUUGUCCUCGUCACCCCACCAAAAUUGCGACAUCGCGUCUAUGAUUCCUUUGCAAAUCUUUUUAGGAAUUUUAAAGACGGACAUUGCAUAUGUUGGGAUUGGUUGAACAACAGACUUAAGCAAAAUUUCCUUUCCACCCGCCGAUAACAACUUUUCUUUCCAUCCACUAAUCUUCAUAAUAAUACGAGCAAUCAAGAACUGAAAACAAUCACUUUUGUCCAUGCCCACAUUGGCAGGUAAUCCCAAAUAUUUAUCAUUAAGUACCUCAGUCAUAAUAUUUAGAAUUGUACAGAUUUGCGCUUUGUCCUCCACUUUUGUAUUGGGACUAAAAAAUAUGCUGGAUUUUUCGACACUCACCAUCUGCCCCGAGACGGCACAAUAAGAGUCCAGAACCGCUCUAAGGGCCUCCACAUUCAUUGCAUUUGCUUGCAUGAGGAUCAAUGAAUCAUCCGCAAAUAAUAGAUUGGAUACUGAGGGAGCUUCCCUACUAACCUUUAUGCCAGAGAUAUUUCCUCUCUCCUCCGCAUUUGCUAAAAGGGCAGUCAGGCCCUCCAUACAUAACAGGAAUAAGUAGGGUGAGAGGGGAUCCCCCUGCCUUAGCCCUCUAGUGGGUUUGAAGCUAUCAGUCUCCUCUGCAUUAACCCGAAUCAUGUACUCCACCGAGGAUACACAUUGCAUGAUCAAAUUCACCUAGUUUUCCUUGAAGCCCAGCUUCACCAAAAUUGCUUUUAAAAAAGACCAUUCCACUCGGUCAUAAGCUUUGUGCACGUCCAACUUGAUUGCACACAGACCCUCCCUCCCCGUUCUUUUCUAUUUUAUUGUGUGGAAACACUCGUAUGCUACCAAAAUAAUAUAUGUGAUUAGUCUCCCAGGGACAAAAACACUCUGAGUUGGGCUGAUAAUGUCUGACAAAAUUAAUUUCAGACGCGUUGCAAUCAUUUUUGAAAUAACCUUAUACACCACAUUGCAUAAACUAAUAGGUCUAAAGUGAGUAACCUUUUCUGGGGAGUUAACCUUUGGGAUCAUGACAAUUGCAGUAUCAUUUCAUCCUGCCGGUAUUGAACAUGUAUUCACCGCCUGUAGUACUUCUUUUGUCAGGUCCUCUCCCAACAUAGACCAAAAUCUCUUAUAAAAAAUGGCGUGAAGACCAUCUGGACCUGGCGCUUUUAAAUCACCAAUGUCAAAUAAGGCUUUCUUAACUUCCUCUUCCGUACACGGGGCCAUGAGGGCCCUAUUCAUUUCAUCUGUUACUUUUCUUUUAACAAGAGAGAGAACUCCUGGGUCUGGUUGCAAGACUUCGGACAUGAAGAGUUUUGAAAAAUACCCUUUAAUAUAAUCCUUCAUUUCCGUACCUUGCACCCAGACUCCGUCAUCCCUAAGCAAUUUUUAAUCUGGUUCCGUUUCUUUCUAGCCGUUGCCGCGUUAUGAAAGAAAGAAGUGUUGCGAUCCCAUGCAAUAACCAAUUUGCACAACCACGCUGUACCCAAUGAAUCUCCUCUUGUUCCAGCAAAUUUUCAAUGAGAACCAAAAUCUCCUUCUGUCGUGCUUGGGAAUCCACAUUCAUAGGGCCUCUCCGUAGCUUUUCCAACUCUUUUUUUAGCUUUUUUAUUCUCUGUUUUGGGCCUCUCAAAACCUCACGAUCCCAAAUGUGCAGAGAUCUGACUGGAGCGCACGAGUACGAUCAGCGAGUUUUGGCCCAAUACCCAUCAUCUUUGCCUUUUCCCAUGCUGUACGAACAAUUUCGCCGACCGUCUCCUCCUUGAGCCAUCUAGCUUCAAAUUGUUUUACUCGUCCCCUUGGGGCAUUAAAAAUAUUUCCAUCAAAAUAUUCCAUCUCCAGUACGAGUGGACGAUGAUCAGAAUGAACAUGUUCCUCAUUAAUUAACGCAGCCCGAGGGAAUUUGUUCGCCCAUUCCACAUUGCACACCGCACGGUCAAGCCUCUCUCUAGUAUCGCCUUCCCUCCAAGUGAAAGGGUCACCAAUACAACCCAUAUCCUCGAGGCCACACUCUCCUAGACAAUUACGGAAGUCUCUCAUCAUAGCAUUUGGUCUUGCAAUUCCGCCCUCUUUUUCUGACGACAGUAAAAUUUCAUUAAAAUCCCCUAAGAUCACCCAGGGGUGAUGACCCAGAUUAUGUAAAUUCCUAAUAUUAUCCCACGAUAACUUACGAUCACUCCAAGCCGGAUGCCCAUAAAAACCCGUGAACCGCCAAUGUACAUCAUUAUCAUUCAUAAAAAGAAUGUCAAUAAAAUGAGACGACACAUAGUUUGAAACAACUUUAUUCAACUUAUUAUAGUACAAGACUAGGCCAACGGCCCGACCAUCACUCUCUACUACAAUCAUCGAAUCAAAAGAUAAAGAACGACCCAGCUCAUCUGCUUUACAUUUAUUCAAGUCUGACUCUGAGAGAAAGAUCAAAUCAGCCUUGGUACGCUGCUGGAGCUCCAAGAGCUCACGAACUGCCGUGGGGGAGAGCAUACCAUGACAUUUCCAUCCUAGGAUCCUCAUUUGGCCCGGCGGUCCUCCUCCUCGGAGGCCGCCGAUGUGCCAUCAUCUCCAACCGACUCCCUCCUCUGUUGCAUGUAUGCCUCCUCAGUGUCAACUCUACCCAUACAGACUCUCUUGGAAGAAACACUCAUGUCACCAUACAGCACACGCUCAUAGCUAUCCAUUUCCCUCUCAAAAGAAAAAAUUUGGUCACUCCCUGUUGGUGGAACCCCAAAAGGAUUACCCCUCUUUUUCCCUAUGAUCUCUUUUCGAGCACUUUCAGCUUUCUCAUCCCCUCCCUUCUUUUUACCUUUCCUCUCCUUUCUUUUUGCUUGGCCGUGCAUAGGAUUCUUUUUAGCAGUGAAAGUAAACACUCCAGACUCCUUGGCCGUAGCUGGGCUAGCUAGCCUCGCAACCAGAGCUCCUGUAAGUGCCUCAAGCACCCCAGGCUCAAAUAAAACUUGAUUAUGCAUGUUAAAAGUGGCAGCCGCAUCAGAAACUGCAUUAGCUGCACCCUUCGAGUGGAUCCCCUGGCCUUCCUGGCCAACAGGACACUCCGGAUUGGCAGCAGCAGCAGCCAUCACUUGGGAAUAUGGGGGCGCUCCCAGGUGCAGCCGCACAUGGCCCUCCUGGCCUUGGUGCAGUGGUGGUGUAGGGGCACCCAAGCGUGCACCCUGGUCCUCCUGACCAGGGCCAUCCCCCCGCUUAGAGUGCAGGGACGCCCCGAGUCGGCCCUCCUGGCCAAGUGCCAGCACCCCCCUGAUGGGCACACUCCUGGCCGCCAAUCCUUGGCCUUCCUGGCCAAGGCUAGCGUGCUUGAGUGGUCUGUGAUCCGGGUCCGCCUGACUCGAAGCAGCUACCACGGGUGCCGGCAACGAAGGCACCUGCCCCCGGCCCUCCUGGCCGAGGGCGUGGCCUCCCUGGACUGGUCCUCCAGUCAAUAGGAUGGCCGAAGUCGAGGAUGAUGCUUCACCUUUUUCUUUCACGGUAAGGUUGUUUACAGCCUUAAUGACCUUGACCACCAUGCCUUCAGUUGCCUUGGAGGUAUUUUUGUUACUAUAGCCUGUGUACAAAAGAUUUCUUCUACUAGAUGUGUUGCCUUUCCAGUAGGCCUCUACACUGAGAUUUUUCUCAAAAACAGGUACUCUACUCUCUUUAGGAAUUCUACAGAACCUUUCAGACAUAAGGCCUACAAGUCCACAACACUCACAAUACGACGGCAACUUUUCAUAACGAACAUCAAAUUGGAGUGUUUCUUGCUGCCCAAGGGAGUGAACUCUACCGUACUUUUAAGUGGCUCAUGCAGCGGGAUUUUUACGCGUACACGCAAAUACUUCUCUACGAUCAGGUGAUUCUGAUGGGAGACUGUUAUCACUUUACUGAUUUGGUCCCCUAGAGACAAACCCACCUCUUCUGUUUUAAGCUCAAACGGUAGGUCACGAACCUGGGCCCAUAUAGCCAUGGCACCAAGAUCCACCUCCGCCGGGUUACCCUUGCCGUCGAACUCAGCAAAAAUGAUCCCGUCGCGCUUAUGGUGCCACGGCUGGGCCUUCAGCACGAAGCGUCUGUCCACGUCGGCGGAGAAGUUGAGGAUGAACCUCCCGUCGUCGCUGUCCACCUCCUGAACGGUGACCUCGCCUUGCAACCUCCAAGCCGACGUAUCACGGAGGUCACCGACGAGGAUGCGUAUGUACUUGGAAGGGCGAUAGAAAUCGCCCUACCACCAGGUAGCCACUAAUAGCCCUCCUCGCGGCCUCCAUGUCGAUGAUCAGCGGGGAGCCAUCCCCGCGAGGCCGCCUUGACACCUUCAUCCCCUCACCCUCAGGCGAAGGAGCCCAAGCAGAAGAACCCCUCCCCAUGGUCGCUGGUACAGAACCUGAACCCUGACCCACUUCCUUCUCCGCCUCCCCUCUCUUCUCCAUCUCCCUCUCUCUCACUAUCACAACCCGAGCAGGGAAGAACACUAAGAGGGAAGUCAGGAAUUCUAGCUGUGACAGAUGAGCUGGUGACCCGAGACUCAUUCCUCUGAUGAAGAUAUAGUAUUUCCCCUCUCCCAAAAUCGCCACAACCAGGACGAGAGUUAUGCACUUAACGGAAAUUAAAGGAUCAUAAAUGUGCAGUUUCCAUAAUAAAAUCCCACUAAUUUCUCUAUUUUCCUUUGAUGUACAAGAAACGCUCCUCCCCUGAUUUCUAUCUUCCUCAUCCAAAUCUCUCAAAGAGUAAAUUUUGCUGUAAUCCCGAGCCUUAAUACUAGCACCCACAAUCGGGGCAGCUAUCCCGGACGGGAUCAAGGCCAGAGAAUCACCACAUGGCCGUACCUCGGAUUUGUUGCCGUUGAAGCCGCCCGUCUUCACCCUCCCUGCCCGAUCGGGUAGAGACUUUGCUGGAUGCACGCGCAGCAUCUCCUCCGCACGCCUCUUCCUCUGUUUCCAACAUCUCUCCCGAUUUGGAGAUCGCCGGAGGAUUCGCCUUGAUUCCGCCUUGAUUUUUUCCCAAUCCGGCGCGCCCGCUGCGCCCCCGAUGGAAAUCCCCCUCCUAAUGGGAUUGCGAUGCGCCACUGAAUCUACCUGGGGCGCCGCAGAUGCCCCUCCCCCGAUGGGGACUCGAUCCGCCGGGGUCUCCGCCGGAAUCACCGACGCCGUCGCUCCCCCCUCUAUCUCCGUCGCCGCCAGAUCGCCUUGCGAUCGCGGGAGCUCCGGGUUUUUUUUGCAAAACUGCCCCCUCUUCUCUUUUGAUAAAAAAGAAAUAGAACCAAAAAACUGAAAAAGAAUGAUGGAGGUGUAGUGGAGGCAGAGGAGGAGAAGGUGGCGAUGGUGGCUGACUAUUUCCAGCAAUUAUUUUUCUAAGGUUGGAUGGUUAGAGGGACUAUGGUAUCUCCAGCCCACUAAGGUUCAAG
Molecule: long non-coding RNA, 50118 nt
Filed under: Triticum aestivum (bread wheat)
Lineage: Eukaryota; Viridiplantae; Streptophyta; Magnoliopsida; Poales; Poaceae
Description: long non-coding RNA (TAES_LNC000248)
Source: RNAcentral